RNAcentral lists this long non-coding RNA (81829 nucleotides) under Hordeum vulgare. RNAcentral describes it as "long non-coding RNA (HVUL_LNC020274)". The record is from RNAcentral. Lineage: Eukaryota; Viridiplantae; Streptophyta; Magnoliopsida; Poales; Poaceae.
GCAAGCAAGCAAUCAACACAGGACUUGAUGCACACAUUGCAGAUUUCAUCACAAAUUACGUCAUGUCAUUAUUAGCUACGGACCAUCUGUAUCACAGAUAAGCAGAAGAGGCUGCUGGAAUACCAUAGGUUUCAGCAACCGACUGCGACGAUGCAUAAUGCUCAACACAACUGAAGGUAGUCUGUUACAACCACAGAUAGUGAAGCGCGACACAGAUAGGUAGAUAGAUAGAUUAUCAUUUUCUGGGCAUUACGAAUGGGCAGGCAGACUCAUUUCUUCCCACUCUUCUUGAGACCAGAUCCUCCCAGCGCACCCUUCUGGCCAGCCUUGGCCUUCAGCUCCUUCAGGGCCUGGUUGACAAGAAAAUAACGUAGUUCACAUCAGAAACUAAGGUCAUAGGACAAGCAGUGUAGAAGAAAAUACUGGAUAGCGGUUACUGGUCUCACCUUUUGCUCAUCNNNNNNNNNNNNNNNNNNNNNNNNNNNNNNNNNNNNNNNNNNNNNNNNNNNNNNNNNNNNNNNNNNNNNNNNNNNNNNNNNNNNNNNNNNNNNNNNNNNNNNNNNNNNNNNNNNNNNNNNNNNNNNNNNNNNNNNNNNNNNNNNNNNNNNNNNNNNUCAUCCUUCUUCUUCUGGAGGUAUGCCAGGUCAUUCUGCAAAACAGAGGAAACCAAAACAAUGGUAAGCAUAGGUAAGUGUAACAGGUCACUGAAGUUAUCGCUUCUAUAGCACAUGGACUAGUUUUCCAAGCAAAGAAGGGUCCUUUUAUGAGGAUGACACAAAAUUCAGAUAGUGUUGCUCUCCCGCAUCAUCAUNNNNNNNNNNNNNNNNNNNNNNNNNNNNNNNNNNNNNNNNNNNNNNNNNNNNNNNNNNNNNNNNNNNNNNNNNNNNNNNNNNNNNNNNNNNNNNNNNNNNNNNNNNNNNNNNNNNNNNNNNNNNNNNNNNNNNNNNNNNUCUCCCGCAUCAUCAUAACACUUGGAAAUAAUUGCCACUGUGAAGCUCAUGUAUCUAGAGGAUGGUAGUUCUCCCGCAUCAUCAUAACACUUGAAAUAAUUGCCACUGUCAAGCUCAUGUAUCUAGAGGAUGGUAGUAUGGUUGGGAGUACCAAAUAAGAUGACUGAAAUCUAGAGUUACAACUGCCGGAGAAAAAAACACCAGGCUCAUAAAACUUACGAAAACCACCACUUUCUUCAGAAUUAGAUGAACCAAUACGGUACAGUUGAAAUUUAGGGUGAACUAACUGCCCUUGUUACUCAGAUUUUGCUGCAAAUUCUACAUAGCAUAUUCACCUUAGACAAGCCACGACCACACAUAAUGUAAGCCAAGCAAAAAAAAACAAAAAAACAAAAAAACAGAGGGCAACUUGGUGCUACAUCCGUGUCAACGCGACUGAAGGUAGAUUGAUGUUACAAAUACAAAAACUAGCACUAGCACACAUGCAUAACAUUGCUCACUCUCUGGGACAACUAUCGCUCCAGAAACUGCAAACAUCAGAAAUUUGGCAGCCAUGUGACAACCCCAUCCAGCACAAUCGGUAGAAACAGCAGCAAUCAGGCAAACACCGCUCCUACUAUAUCAGGACCAAGCAAGGCGCUUGUACUCAUCCAAGUCCAAUCAUUCACGACCCCCUAAUCGUAACGAAAUUCCAGCACGGCAUAGCUACGCACGCUCGCAAAAAUCAUAUCCCCCCUAACGGAUCAUCCCCGCAACUACCCACCAAGCACGGGCCGAUCUACGCCCGAGCAGCCUAGACACCACCAAACCUAGAAUUACAGGGGCGGAUCGCUGAUCCGGGCGACGAAUCGGGAGCGCGAGCAAAGGGAGAAGGACGACAGCAUACCUCGUCGUAGUCCUUCUCGGCGACCUUGGCCUGCUUGAGCGGCUUGGCCUUCCCUCCUGCAAAACCAGCCCCGAAACCGGAAGAGAACGUCAGGACGUCCCCGGAGGACCAAAUCGGCCGGCAACGAACGCCGGCGGGAUCGAUCUCGCGUCGAUCGGCGGGGAGGGAGGGGACAAACCUUGCUUCGACAUGGCGGACGGGCCCGGCGGGGGCGAGAAACCCUAGCUGGAGCCGCGACGACGGUGGGGCGAGGAAGGACGGAAGGAGGGGAAAGGCGUGAGGAAAUGGGCGUGGAGGGGAUGGAGAAAGGGAUAUAUAGAGGGGUUGGUGGGAAACGGAAUCUCGCCUUGUGGCCCGGAGGGCCUGGGCCGGGUUUCCGUCGGCCCGCGGGUUUGGUGACGGGCUCUGGUCUUCCUCGUUGAACUGUCGCCUUUGGCCCAUGCUUUCCUUUAAUAGGCUCCUGUUUAUUUAUUUUUCAUUUCUUUCUGUUAUUUUGUUGAUUGUUUUGCUUCUGCAAAAUUGUUCGGGGUUUAGAAAAGGUUCUGGAUUUCAAAUGAUGGUCGGGAUAUCAAAGACCAUGUUCAGGAGUUUGAAAAAUUGCUCUUGAAUUCGAAAAAUGUUUGCGAGUUUAAAUGUUUUCCUUGAAUUCAGAAGAUGUUGAUGGGAUUUAGAAAGAAUGAUCAUAAAUUACAGAAAUAGUCGCAACUUCUAAAAAGGCUAACAAAUUCAAACAUAACGCUCAUGAUUUUGAACAAAUGCCAAUGGAUUCCAAAACCUUCAUGAAUUUUAUAAACAUGUUCACAAAACUAAAAACAAUAUUAGUGAAUUACAAUAAAAGUUCAUCGACUCAAAAAAUGUUAAUGAGUCUAUAAAGUUAUUACACUCUGAUUCAAAAAUAUUUUUUAGGAGUUACGAAUAAAUUAUAACAAUUUCAACAAAAAAUAGAAAUUCUAAUAAAUCGUUUUCGUGAAUUUAUAAAAUUUUAGUGAUUAAAAAUAUUGUUUUUUUUACAAAAUGUGUGAAAAUUCAAAAAAUCAAUUACCUAACAAAGUUGGCAAAUUAAAAAUAGUCAUGAUUUCAAGAAGGAAAGAAUUACCUAACUCUAUAUAUGGUUGCUAGGGUUUGAGCGGGAGAGAGAGAGCUGCGAGGGUGCGAGAGAGUCGGUCGUGGAGGUCCUUUCCCACGGCCGGGCAAGAGGGAAAAGGGUUUUCCUUCUUAAUUCUUGCCUGAUUAGAAUGAUACAUCUCCUCUCCAUAUAUAGAGAGAGGUUUACUUGACUCCCAAGUAAGGCUUACUUGACCCCUAAGCAAACCCUAAGACUAACGGGCCCAGGCCCAUCACGUACUCUAACAGAAGCUCCGUAAGUUCACUCAUGUUCUUGGCGUGCAAGUAUCCUCUACACCUUCUGACAGAGUAGCAUAACAUCUCCACCCAUACCCCCUGGACCAUCUCCCACCUCUCCACUUCAUCUUGUAGCUCCAUCAACAUCUUAGCAAGCCUACAUGAUGUUCCUGCUAUGCUGGUGUUGUCUAAUAAAGGAGGUUGUUGUGCCUUGGAAAGAAUUCCCUGCGAAAGUCCUCUUUCGUCGUGCAGUGCAGAAUUGUGGCCUAGCGUGAGCUCAAUAUCUUCACAUGAAAUGAUGAAGAUGCCAACCUUGGACCCGACUAUAAGCAUUUCUGAACGAAUUGAGAGCAAGUAUGUCAUGUAGUUGGAUAUCACCCUGCUUUGGGCGGCGCACUCUUGGCCGCGAGGGGUUGUGCUCUGGUGGUGAAAACAAAUGUCUAUGGCGAUGUGCCAUAGAAGGACACUGCUGUCAAAUGACAUAUUCAACCUUCACCCAAGAUGACGUUGAUGCCUUAGAGCCCACUGUCCCCUGUGGAGGUUGAAUCUCUUGUAGCUAACAGCGUCGUGGAUGUACCCUUUCCAACCAUCCAUCACGUGUCCAUGAACCAACUUCACAACUUGGAGUGAGGAUGUUGCUGCUGCAUGUUCUACUCGUAUACAAGGAUGCAUGUUAACAUAGUCUUUGUAGCAGAAAAGUGUGGCAAGCUUCAUAAAAAAGUGGGUCACUUCUUACGAGCACACAACGACAAGAGGUUAUGUUGCGAAAUCUUUUUCUGUUUGAUGAAUUACUAUAGAAAACAAGGCAAAUAACCAGAAAAAAAAUGCUCAUAUUUAAGAGAGAUAGAACAGUCUAGUUAGAAAACAGGCACAUGUGCUGAUACCAUUUCAAGGUCCCCCCCCNNNNNNNNNNNNNNNNNNNNNNNNNNNNNNNNNNNNNNNNNNNNNNNNNNNNNNNNNNNNNNNNNNNNNNNNNNNNNNNNNNNNNNNNNNNNNNNNNNNNNNNNNNNNNNNNNNNNNNNNNNNNNNNNNNNNNNNNNNNNNNNNNNNNNNNNNNNNNNNNNNNNNNNNNNNNNNNNNCCCCCCCAAUUAGCAGCAAGUUACAACAGCAACAAUAACUAAUUAAAGUCAGUAACAAUAUGCCAGUGAAAAUGGAUGUCUCAGCGUUAUGAAUCACCAACCAAAUUGUGUCGGCGUCUCCUUGAGCUUUCUGUGUAAACCCAAAUUGUGCUAUUUUACAGAUACGGCUCGAAUUAAUAGGUGAUAUCAUAUCAAAUGGAAGUAUGCAAUUGAAUUGAAUCAUGUACUGCAAAAAUCAGUGUGAAUGUGAAAACACAACUCACUCUGCGGUCUUACAGUAAGUGUCAUGUUACUUAAGAGCCAAGGCACAAUCCAAAUCGAUAUUACCACAACCUCAUAAGCAAUCACACGCAAGUCACGAACAGUUGUAGUAGCACUAGUAAACACAGGCAGUAGUACUAGCAAACAGUGUGCCCAUCAGGCAGUAGUAUCAGUAGUACAUCAGGAGUGCGGAGAUGAUGGAUAUACUCAUCUUGAGAUUCAUUGACGCCUUAUCUGUGUGCGGCCCAAAUUAUAAAGCAUCUUCAUUCGGGCCCGGUGAUCUACAUGAGACCAACAUCACAUGAGCAUUUUUUUAGGGAAGCAUCACAUGAUCAUCUUAAAUUAGUAAGAUUAGAGGGAGGAACAAGUAGUAGCAUUAGUCGAUAGGUGACUGGCGACAAACUUACGUAUCUACACAUUUCCCGACCAGUGCGGCAGGUCAAAGUCGGAGAGUAUGAUGCCACUUCUUCCCUCGAAUCGCAGAGCAUUGGCGCAGCAAUGUCAAGAAGUCACCGGUGAUUUCGUGGAAGACUAGAUACUGGAGGGACACGAGGAACUCAAUGCCAGAUGGGACCUCCGUCAUGCUGUUGAGGUUGACAAGGGAUAAUCUUUCCAGGCUCGCCAUGGCACCUUGCUGUAUCUCUAGCCGGUUCAGAUUAGGCAGAUCUCUUAGAAAGAGAAUCUUCAGCUUGGAAAACCACCCCGUGAGAAAUGUCAGCUGCUCUCCGUUGUACGCUCUGGUGAAGUGUAGAAGCGUCAAGUUCGGCAACAAAGAAAGCGAUGGCAAGGGGUCUUUUCUCAGCUGUGACCAAGACAGAGCCAAUGAAGACAAGUUCUGUCCACCAACAUCUUGGAAGAGAGGAGACUCAUCCAACGCUCCUUGCUCUAAUCGUCCUCUCAAAGACAGCGUUUGCAGAUUUGGCGGGAGGACGUUCAACAAGAGAACCUCCUUCUCAUCACUUGCAUUCACAGAUAGCUUGGACAAAUACUGCAUCUGAACUAGAGACUCACGGAUGCGUCCACAGUAGAUUCCCUUUACAUUUGAUAACCUCAAGCUUCGAAGUUGCCUCAGCUCCCCUAAAUGUCUAACUGAUUCACCCUGUACUUCCAAUGUUCGUAGCGUUUGCAGGUUUGUUAGAUUCCCAAGACCAAUGGGGAUAGUCAUACCACUGUGACAAUGAAUAUCCCUCCAAUCUAGAUAAUUCAUCUUCUCGGCAAAUAAGUGCCUAAGCUUCUUCAAUUUGACAACCCCACUAGGCAAAUAAUGUAUAUCUGAUCUAUAAAGGUCCAGUGUCAACAAGUUUGAAAGCUUUUCAAUAGACCUAGGGAGCAUCUUUACUUUCGAAUUACGCAAACCUAAAUGGCGGAGACUAAAAAGAUCCCCAAUAGCAUCAGGAAUCUUCUCAAUGGGUAAGCCACUUAAUUCUAGCACUGUCAUAUAUCUUGACUUCUUACAUAACAGAGGUAGUAGAGUGAAUAAUGGCUUGUUACCAUCCGCUACAAUGACAGUUCGAAGUUGGCGUAUACUAGAAAACGAUUGCUGAAUAUCCUUCUUUAGUUUGUGCAUUACCAAUCGACGCCCAUCCAUCUCAAGAGAACCCCCACAUUUAUCCUCAUAUGUAACACCAAAACAAUCCUUCUGACACAAAUCAACAGCCAGUUCUCGUAAGAUAUCAUGCAUUCUGAGUUUCUUCGUCCUACCAAAUGAGUUCCUUUUAACAAGUUGUAGCAUGUUUCUAUCAAUUAACUCUUUCAGAUAGCCUUCUGCCACUUCUUCUAAUGUGCUUUCACCCUUCUCCUCAAUGAAUCCCUCUGCUGUCCAUAACCGUACAAGUUGUUUCCUUUUGAAAAGAUAGUCUUCUGGAAAUAAGCUGCAGUAUAGGAAACAACUUUUCAAGUGUGUUGGAAGGUAAAUGAAGCUGAGAUGCAAAAUAUUCCUUAUGUGAUCAAGCCUUAAGUUAUUUAUUAUCUCCCAACUCAGCUGGUCAUUUAUUCUUCUCCAUUCUUCCACAGUUUUCUCACGCACACGCAAGAGGCUACCAACUGACACAAUAAUGAGAGGCAAACCUUUGCACUUGCUAACUAUUUCGAAGGACAAAGACUUCAAGUGUACAGGACAUUCAUGAUUUUUAUCUGUUGGAAAGGCUUUCUUAUGAAAGAGAUCACAUGCCUUGUCUUCUGGUAAAGCCUCUAGCUUUAAGAUGCGUCCUGGAGAGGCAAAUGCAGCAACAUCUCCUUCCCUUGUUGUAAUUAUCAAUCUGCUGCCCUUGUCAUUAUGAAUAAGCACUCUAGACAAAUCAUCAAAUGCUUGUGGAGUCCAAACAUCAUCCAAUAUGAUCAAAUACUUUUUUUGCUCCAGGAAUCUCUUUAGUGUCUCUUCAAGGCAUGUGAUGUCCAUCGCUGCAGUGUUAGACAGAGCACUGACAUUAUCUUUGAAAAGUUCCUUGAUUGUAUUCCUCAGGACAUCUUCUCUAGAAUAAGUUUGAGAAAUGGAGACCCACGCGUGGCACUGGAAUUGCUCUCUCUCCUUCCUGUAGAUAUUUGCAGCUAAAGUUGUUUUACCAAGUCCUCCCAUUCCAAGCAGUGCUAUCACGGAGCACUCCAAAUCAGCACCUGCCAACCACUGCCCAAGUAUCUCUCUGUUUUUAUCCACCCCCACUAAGUCUUCUUCAUCAAGGGAACGUGAAAUAUUUGCUAGAUCUUGGGACCUCUUGACAAUGUAAUUCGAGCUACUAGUAUCCCCAUUCUGUAUCAUGGGGACCCAACGUUUUUUUAUCUCUGACAGGUGUGUGAGGUCUUUCUCUAUUUCCUUUGCCCUGAAAGCUAUCCGGUUCAAACAAAGCAGAGAUCUUGGUUUUCUGAAACCUUGCUUCAGGUAAAAGCAACACCCUAUAUCAUGUUCCUGAUCAAUUAGAUACAAGUACUCAUCCGCUAUGUCUUCCAUCACAUGUGCUACCUUCCGUACUUCCUCCAACCAGCCCUCAUAUACUUGAUUGCUGCUGUUUCGAAUGUCCAUUUGACAGACAACAUCAUGCAUGACGCGAAGCUCCCUUGCAACACGACCCAUGCUGCCCUGUAGCUCUAACUUUUGCGUCCCGUACUUCGCAAACUGCAUGCUCACCUGGGCUGCCGCUCCAUUUGCCAAGGCAUUUCCGAUCUUUUUAAUGGUUAGAAGGAUCACAAUCUCCGCCAUUAUUUUCUGAGAAUUACUAAUAUAUGUCUGUUGGAUAGUAGCCUAGUUGUAUAUUUUCCUCAAUAUCAUUGGAAUGGCCACUGCAAAAUGAGGUGAUGUAUUAAUUAAACUAUCAGUGCAUUCUGCUAAAAGACUUUUAAUCCCUCCAAUCACAAUAGAAAAGUGAAAAUAAGAAAAAAACUUUCAAAGCACUUCUCCCUUCGUCCCAAAAUAAGUGNNNNNNNNNNNNNNNNNNNNNNNNNNNNNNNNNNNNNNNNNNNNNNNNNNNNNNNNNNNNNNNNNNNNNNNNNNNNNNNNNNNNNNNNNNNNNNNNNNNNNNNNNNNNNNNNNNNNNNNNNNNNNNNNNNNNNNNNNNNNNNNNNNNNNNNNNNNNNNNNNNNNNNNNNNNNNNNNNNNNNNNNNNNNNNNNNNNNNNNNNNNNNNNNNNNNNCACUUAUUUUGGGACGGAGGGAGUAUUUGAUGCUGUUAAUCUAUGUAACUCUAACCCAAACAAUCAACCAAAAGUCCAAAAAGGCACUUGCAAUAGACAGAUCCAUGAGAAUUUUAGAAAGCUUGAGACUGUGUUAUAUCAAGUGUGGCAAACUUAAUGUUAUCAGCAGUUUCAGGAUUUAGAAAUCAUGUUGCAAUGAGUUCAAGCUAAUGCCAGGUCAGACACCUGGUGCUAUCCUUGGAAAUCACCUGGAUAUUGUACUAGUACCAAGAGAUCCCUGCUCAAUUCAACUGGCUUUGAAAAUCAUGAUGUCAAUUUAAGUAUAAGGUGUUCUGUCUCUGAGUAAUGAACAGGCUUAACAAUAGAGAAAUGCUACAAAGGAAGAACAUGUUUAUCCUAUCUUAUGGCCAUGUGUGAUCAGAAUGCACUUGAAUCUAAGGAACAUCAGUUAUUUAACUGUCAGUUUGCUAAAGCCUGCUGGAAUUGCUUAUGCCCAGGAGGCACUCUACACGGAUAAAUAAAAAGGUUAGUUCUCCUAACUCCUAAGCAGGCUUUGGGAGUUCCUUUCUUAUAGGGUUCAUCAGUUAAGUGACUUUGAGCAUAUGAGGAUUUCGAAAUGGCUUCAUCUUCAAUUAAAUAUCACCUAAUCAAUACAGCUGGCGACAAACUUUCAAGGAGGGGAUACAUCUGAUCUUUCACAAAAACAAAAACAAAAUCUUAAUAUGGCAUGUACAGUUUUCUGAAAAGAUUUAAUAUAAUGGCUUUUCUUUCCUUUUUUACCCUCCAUGUAUUUGUAUGUGUUCUCACUUUUUAUAAAAUUGUAGUGGGAAAUCGCCUAUUGUUUACAUCAAAAACAAAAAAAACUGACAAGAACGGGUGACAGCAAACAAGACAACUGACUGUGCAUCCUUCGCUUCACAUGGACUGGGAUCAGGUGACAUGCUCACGCUGUAACAUGCGCCCCUAUAUCUGCCGUUCAAACAAGAUCCAACAUCACUGAUUGACCCAAGCAAAAACAAGCAACAUCUAUACGGGCUUGGGACGGAUCUACUGCACCGCGCGAUUCCACGUGAACCUCUCAUGACGAUCAUGUAGUGAGUUGGAGUCCCAUGCUGUUCAUAUUCAGGUUGGACAUCUUCUGGAAUUUUACUUUGGCCAAAGAUGUUCUUACUCCCUCACCAGUUCAGUUGUACAAUGCUCUAAAGGACUGCUUGACUGCUUGUUUUUAUCUUAAUAAAAGUGCAUAUAUCUGCAGCAUCUCUUCAUGGAUUUGGCAUGUCCUGCUUUAAUAAGCAUCCUUGACUUGUAUCUCUGACUUGUUUACACUUGGGUCAAUCAGUGGCAUUGGAUCUUGUUUGAACGGCAGAUAUAGGGGCACAUGUUACAGUGUGACUUCCUGAAGGCAUGUCACCUGAUCCCAGUCUGCUUCACAUAGGGACAUAUGCAGUUAAAGCCUCCCAAAUGUUGAAGUUUUAAGUUUUAACCAAGUAAGACAGAGCUAACAAAUCUGAAUACAAGGCCAAUUCGCCAAUAUGAAUAAUAUUCUGCUUUCAGAUAGUUGGCUAAUGAGAUUGUUUUGGUAACUUAAUCCCAUGGUUUUCUCAAUAUCUACAUAAUAGUAUUUCCACAUGUAUGGAGAAACAAAUAGCUAGAGUUGUUGAUUAAGUUGCAAGAAAGAUGUACCACAAUCAAGAAAAGAAAUAAGAAAACAAAGCUAUAAUACCAGAUAUUAUUGGAUUACAAUUUAAAAUGUCUUCAAUCAAAAGGAACUACCAUAUUCACUUUAGGAGGCUCACACGCAACAAGAAUGCUGACAUAAGUAGGCUAGAGGUUGCAAUACCUGCUUAGCCUGACCGGAGGCGAUGGCGCUGGGAGAGGCGCUCCCUAGGGCGACAUCUGAGGCGACCGUAGGGGCGAUCCCUGUGGAGACCGGAGAAGUUCUCCCUGCGGCCUUUGGGGAGGACAUCGGAGAGGCGUUUGGUGGGGCGAUCGGAGAGCGGGGCGGCGGGCCGUCCUGCGCAUCCUCUCUGAUCGGCGGCGAUGGCGAAGGGAACUGCGAGGCAUCUCAUCGGAAAUGGGCUGUGUCUUUCGAAGACACAUCUUCAAAAGAUCGAAUGCAGCGAUUCGGUUUCAUCAAACUUCAUCAGGUAUCUCGCUGGAUCACCAUUCGGGAUGAGGAUAACGACAUUUUGGCAGGUCGCUACCUGCAGAUGGAGGAACUUCCGAAGAGUGGGCAUACCAUGGAGAUUGAUGGGUUUAGGCUUUUUAUCGGAGAGCCCUGUGUAGUUAAUCCAGGGGAUUCCAUGAGCAAGGUACGUUCUGAUCUUGUUUCUAACUCCCCUCGGUUUGGAGGGCGAUUCUGGGUACUCGCAGAUCAGGAUUCGGAGGACGAAGCAGAGGAGAUCAAGUCCGACGCAGAGGAGAUCAAGUCCGACGCGAUAGAGAACGUAUUAGCCUUCAAGCGGACAAAUGGCGAGACGAUCAGGGUACCAAUUCGCAAGGGGUAAUAGCUCAACCUAGGAUCCCGAGGAAACCCCUGUUGAAGCAGAAGGUUCGUCCUUGGAUCGGUCCUCUGCCAAAAGGUAAACUAGCACCGAUCACCUUGUCGGAAUUCUUCCCGCCGGCGGCCUGGUGCGUCGUCAAAGGCAGGAAAAAGAAGAACAUGGUGGCUGCGAGAAUUAGGGAGUCAGCGCCUGAUUCUCGGCCGUUUUUACCGCAUGUACAUGCGCGUUUCCAUAGAGAAUUCUUUUGAAUUCCGCUACGGUUGCGGCUGGUUUAACGCUGGACUCUAGCGUGAUGGGUCUCAAUGGGUAUGUGGCCCAGGAGAUUGCGCCUGUUGCUGACAAGUCCGGCUCGGACUGCGCUAGCCCUGGGUAUAGGACCCAGGACUUAGCCCUGUCGAUUGCUGAUCCUAUCGAUCACGAUACUCCUUCCCCAGACGAUCACGGUGCGCAUCCUAGGGUUCUUCGGCGACUCAGCAAGGGUUUCCCGUCGCUGGGACUAGGGCGCGCUGCGAGGGUACCGCCUCCUUCCUCUGGUGGAAGGGAUAUGGCGGGCAGGGGCGCUCCCAGGCAGCCACCGGCCUCGCAGCCCAGACCGCCAGGACAGGGGGAACGCCCCGGCGCCAAGCCAGUUCCUGCUGGGCAUGGCGCUGCGCAGGCAGGGCGCCCACCUGGUCCAGCCAGUCACGCAGGAGAGCAAGGAGAUCAGAGGGGUCAUCAGCGAGGAAGAUGGGGCAACGAUGGUAAUAACACAUAUGGAGAUGGUCAUCGCGGAUCAUCUUCCUAUGGAGCUGGACGCGGUCAUGCGGCUACUACCAAUGGAGGUACCAACCAGGGUUUUUGCGCACCACCGGGAAAUUUUGUGCCGGGGACGUCGGGACCUUCUCAUCACAAGAGAGGUGGAUUCCGACAGAAUUGGGCAGCCAGAGGGGGAGGUAGGAAGCCCAGGCCUCCAAUGCCGGCUCAAGAGUUGCAGACAGAGACUGCUGUCCCUAUUAAGGCGGAUGGGCCUGAGCCUGUGAAGGAGGCAGCCGACCCUGUGGCUGAACAGAAUGUUGGGGUAGCAAAAGGAGAUGGAGGUGACCGACCUUCCAAGUGGGCACGUAAGAAAGAGAAGAUGGUGUGCUAUCGAUGUAGCGAGGCUGGACACUUUGUUUCUGAAUGCAAGGCUGAGCUCUGUGGAUAUUGUCUUAAGCCGAUGCAUGGUACAGCUAAGUGCCCCCUUACGAUUGGGAGUGUGCCGGUGGUGACCAUCUAUGGUGUCUCGAGUCAAGAAUUAAUGUUCUUCGAGUCGCCAGCGGCGACAGCGACACUGCAUACUCCAGAUGCUGGUUUCACGGGCACGAUGACGGUGACUCGGGGAAUGCUGACCGUGGAGCAGGUGGUGCAACAGCUCAAGGAGCUUGUAUCAUCAACUUUCAAGUGGGAACCGGUGCUGAUUUCAGAUAAUGUCUUUAAGAUUGUCUUCCCUACAAAGGAGGAUUUGGCUCGUUUACUUAAGUUCGGUAUGUGCAGAGUGGCUAGCACAAGCUGUGUACUUGAGUUUGAUGCCUGGAAGUGUGAGGAGCCCAAGGGGGUUCCGCUACCGCAGAUUUGGGUACACUUUGCGGGUGCUCCUUCCAGGGCCAUUAACGACUUUAGAGUUGUUUGGAGUUUGGGUUCGCUUAUUGGUAAAACAGAGGAGGUAGAUAUGGUGUUUACUAGAGCCAAAGGCGUCGCAAGGAUGCUGGUGAGUGUGCUAGAUAUUCAAAUCAUUCCAGAUGAGGUCAUGUGGACUUAUGAGGGGAUGAGAUACACUCUCCAGGUGGAGAUUGAGAGUCCUACUCUCUUCGAUGUACCGGACACGGAUAAGGAUACUAAUAUGACUGAUGGGGAUGAUGCGGAUGGAGCCAAGGAUAACACGGAUGCUGAUUUUGAUUCAGGGCCCAAGUUCUCUUCUCAGAAGACUACGCCAUCACAACCCGCUCGGUCUAUACAACCCUCAGGCACUGGUACUAAGCAUUUGGCUGUUGCAUCUGAUCUUGACUUGCGGUUUGGUUCUUUUGAGCCUGCUUCUGAGCCGGCAAAAUUCUGUCGGUCAAUGCGCAAGGAUCUUUACUCGAGGGCGAAGCUGCCGAGGUUCCUGGGUAAGAAGCCUAGGAGCAAUAUUGGUAGUAUGCAGUCCACGAAUAAGCUGCAACCAGUUUCCUUGGGGACAUACCUGGCAGAGGCAAAGGUUAGAGACCAAACAAGGACUUUUAUUUCAGAUUUGGAGGCUGUACCAGUGUGCCCAUCCGCUGGGGUUGGGGAUGCUGAUGUUUCACCGGUUGCUGGAGCACCGGUGCAAUCACUGGUAGGUGCUGGUGCACCGAUGCCGGCCGGUACACCCGCUGCUGGUUCCGCCGCGAAGUUCAUGGAGGCUCAGUUCGGAGGUGGGGCACGCAUGGGUGAAGACCCGCUCUCCGCUGCGUCAAGUCAGGAUCCUCCUGCACCUUGCACAGCCGAGACUGCUGCUGUUUGUGGUGUCGCCGAUGAUCGGCUGGUGCAUGGCGGUGUGCAUGCAGGCCUGGAUUUUGCGCCAAACGGUACCGGUGUUCAGUUGGAUGCCGUCACUGGUGAUGCUAAGGAUGCCAACACGGUGGGACAGGAAGUUAACUCUCCGACAGUAGUUACACCGCAGCCAGCUACAAUCUCUAUUGAUGAUGUCAUAGCGUUUGGAGGCGUCCCAAAUCCAAUGGGUCCGAAGAGACGGACUAGUCAACGGGUGCAGUCUCAGCCCGAUGUGGAUGACUUGCAGAUUGGGCGGGCUAUGCAGGCGGCCAAAAUGAAAGAGGUUCAGAAUACGACAGGUAUGUCUAUUAAUACUGAGCAUUCCAUUCUUCAUUUUUCUCCGCAAGACAUUAUAGAUAAUGCUACCGCUGUGGGGGUUAACUUGGGUAGUACGAGCAAGGAGGUUUCCAAAUCUAUUAAUGAUUUAUUGGACUUAGAAGUUGAUAGGGCGUUGGAUAUUAUUCGCAACUUAGCUGCCAUUAAACCAAUGAAUGAUGAGGCCAUAUCUAAUAUGGGGGGGCUGAAUUUACUAUGUGAAAAUUUAGCCUCGCCUGAGGAUGGUGAGGACUCACACAAGUUUUUGCAUCAUAACCAGCAACCCAAUGGUACACUUAAUGAUGAGGGCAAAGAUACGACUGGUUAUAUGGACCAGGAGUAUGCUAUUGAAAAGCCUAAACGAACUUAUAAGAGGAGGGUGUAUUCGGUUUCUGCUAUACGCAGGAGCGCGAGAUUCAAGACUGCUAAAAAAUUCUACGAUGAGAUAUGAAAGGAAUGUUCUGGAACAGCAGAGGUCUGAGAGACUUGGCUAAAAUUCGGUUCAUUGCGGAAACAACGUUACACCAUAGUCUAGACUUCAUCGCGUUGAUGGAGACUGGACGGGAUAAUUUCACAUCGCAAUUUCUCAACUCUCUUUCAGGAGGCGCUGAAUUUGAUUGGCAUUGUCUCCCCCCAAGAGGAAGGUCCGAAGGGAUCUUACUUGGUGUCCGUUGUCAUACACUUCAAGUUCGAGAAGUGGUGCUCGGGGAGUUUUCGAUCAAAUUUCGAAUCAGAACCAAGGAAGAUGGGUUCCAAUGGGCUCUCGUUGCGGUUUAUGGGGCCGCACAAACAGAGCAAAAGCCUGCCUUUCUUGCUGAUUUAGUUCGAAUUUGCGAUGACACCCUACCACUUGUGGUAGGUGGUGAUUUCAAUAUUAUCAGGAGAGCUGAUGAGAAGAACAAUAAUAAUUUUGAUGGCAGAUGGCCUUUUAUGUUCAACACAAUUAUAGAGAGCCUAAACCUACGGGAGAUUAAUCUCUCAGGUAGGAAAUAUACUUGGGCUAACUCUCUACAUCAUCAAACAUUUGAAAAAUUGGACAGGGUACUUACUAGUGUUGACUGGGAACAAAAAUUCCCGCUAGUCACGGUUUGUGCACUUCAAAGGGCUAUAUCUGACCAUACCCCACUCCUCCUAGAUUCUAGCCAGGCCACUCACAAAGGGAAAAAAGAUGCUUUCUCUUUUGAAUCCAGUUGGUUCACACGUGAGGGGUUUGUGGACAUGAUUGCUAGGGAAUGGAACAAGGAUGUGGGGGGAGGGAAGUCUAGUGUUGAUAGAUGGCAAAGUAAAAUUCGACAUCUUAGACAAUUCUUGAGAGGUUGGGCUAAGAAUAUCUCUGGGGUUUAUAAAGACGAGCAAGAUAGACUGCUCCAAUUUAUAGACACUCUGGAUCGUCAGGCAGAAACUCGCUUGCUAGAUGAACACGAGAGGUCUUUGAAGUAUGAUGCUGAACAAAGAGUUCGGAUCCUUCUUCGAGAAGAGGGAAUGAAAUGGGCUCUUAGAGCUAAAGUUAGGGCUUUGGUCCAAGGGGAUGACAACACAAAUUUUUUCCACUUGAUUGCAAAUGGCAAGCAUCGGAAAAAGAGGAUAAUACAACUAGAACAAGAUGAGGGUACAAUAGUAGGUCAUGAGAAUCUAAAAUUGUACAUCACAAAUUAUUAUAAACGGUUGUUUGGUGCUCCGGCUCAUAGUUUUGUGUCUAUGGACGAGCAUCAGAUCGCGGAUAUUCCUCAGGUCGGACGGUCCGACAACGAGUGUCUUUCCGCACCAUUCCUAGAGAAAGAGGUGUUACAAGCGAUUCAGGGUAUGAAGAAUGGUAAAGCACCGGGGCCAGAUGGGUUCCCAGCUGAUUUCUAUAAGAAAUGUUGGCAUAUCAUUAAGGAUGAUCUCAUGUCUAUGUUUCACGAUCUGUUUUCCGGGCACUUACAACUCUUUCAUCUUAAUUUUGGUACGAUUACGUUGCUACCAAAGAAAGAGGGUGCUUCGCGUAUUGAACAAUUUCGCCCCAUUUGUCUGCUCAAUGUGAGCUUCAAAAUUUUCACAAAGGUGGGAACGGAUAGGCUAACCAAAAUGGCACAUUCUGUGGUGCAAUCUUCGCAGACGGCCUUUAUGCCUGGUCGGAACAUUCUUGAAGGAGUUGUCGUUCUGCAUGAAACCCUGCACGAAUUGCACUCCAAGAAGCUUAACGGAGUACUUUUUAAGGUAGACUUCGAAAAGGCUUAUAAUAAGGUCAAAUGGUCUUUCUUGCAACAAACUCUUCGUAUGAAGGGGUUUGGCGAGAUUUAGCGAAAACAUAUCGAUUGUUUUACACAAAGGGGUAGUGUCGGUAUUAAAGUUAAUGAUGAUGUAGGUCAUUUCUUUCAGACAAUCAAGGGACUUAGGCAAGGAGAUCCUAUGUCACCUAUUCUAUUUAACAUCGUAGCAAAUAUGUUAGCGCUAAUGAUCAGGAGGGCUAAUAACAAAGGGUUAAUACGGGGAUUAGUGCCACACCUAGUAGAUGGGGGGGGUCUCCAUCCUACAAUAUGCGGAUGACACAAUCCUUUUCAUGGAACACGAUCUCAAAAAAGCCAGAAAUAUGAAGCUAAUUUUAUGCUUAUUCGAACAGCUAUCUGGGCUGAAGAUUAACUUCUACAAAAGUGAGCUCUUCUGUUUUGGGGACGCCAAAGCAGAAGAGCUCACAUAUAAUCAACUCUUUGGUUGUGAAGGUGGUACGUUGCCGUUUACGUACUUAGGGAUCCCUAUUCACCACCGAAAAUUAACUAUCAAGGACUGGAAGUGCAUAGAGGAUCGGUUUGAGAAAAAAUUGAGCUGCUGGAAAGGCAAGCUACUAUCCUAUGGAGGACGAUUGGUUUUAGUUAACUCGGUGUUGACAAGCAUACCAAUGUUUCUACUAUCCUUUUUUGAAGUACCAGUAGGGGUGCGAAAAAGGUUGGAUUUCUACCGAUCACGAUUUUUCUGGCAGAGUGAUGAGAUCAAGACCAAGUAUAGGCUGGCUAGAUGGGAUAUUAUUUGUAGGCCAAAGGAUCGGGGAGGGUUGGGGAUUGAAAAUUUAGAGGUUAAGAACAGGUGCCUGCUCAGCAAGUGGCUUUUCAGGCUAUCUGUGGAAUCAGAAGGAAUGUGGGUACAAAUUCUGAAGAACAAGUAUCUACAGCAAAAAACCUUAGCUCAGGUCACUUUGAGACCGGGAGAUUCACCUUUUUGGAAAGGUCUAAUGAGGACUAAAACGGCUUCUUUUAACAGGACUAAAUUCAUCAUAGGUAAUGGUGAAUCUACUAGAUUCUGGGAGGAUAGUUGGCUAGGGGACGUGCCACUAGCUAUACAAUAUCCGCAGUUGUAUAAUAUUACCCAGCGCAGACAGACGUCUAUUGCGGUAGUAUUACGUGAGACCCCUCUUAACAUCCAGUUUCGCAGAACCUUAGUUGGCAAUAGAUGGGGUAGAUGGCUACAUCUAGUCAGAAGGCUAAUGGAUGUUAGUCUUACUGAUGUUCCUGAUCGUAUUACUUGGAGACUGACCUCCAAUGGUACAUUCUCAGUGAAAUCAAUGUAUGACCAUAUUAUUGACAAUACACCUAUUCCAAAAUCUUCGCAUAUUUGGAACGUUAAAGUGCCACUUAAGUUAAAAAUCUUUUUGUGGUUUGUUCACAAAGGUGUUGUUUUAACAAAGGACAACUUAGCCAAGCGAAAGUGGAAGGGAAAUCGAAGGUGUAGCUUCUGUCAGUCGUCUGAAACAAUUAAGCACCUCUUUCUGGACUGCCCUAUGGCUAAAAUCUUAUGGCGCUCAAUCCAUAUUGCCUUUAACAUCACCCCGCCUACUAGCAUUAACAUGUUAUUUGGGACGUGGCUGGACGGGGUUAAUGUUCGUUUAGCCAAACUAAUUCGAGUUGGAACAUCCGCACUUUUGUGGGCUAUAUGGAACUGUAGAAAUGACCUAGUUUUUAGCAGACAACAUUGUAUUAAUUUUUUGCAGGUCAUCUUCAGGACUACCGCCUUGAUCUGCAUGUGGUCCUUACUCACUCCUGUUGAAACCAGGGAGCCUUUGGUUACUGGGUGUGCCCGAUGGGAGAUGGUAGCUCAGGCUAUCUUCAGCCGAUAUGGAUGGCGACAUGUUGAUAGAAUAGGGAGUUAGCCAACUUCACCUAUUUGUAUCUUUGGUUUGGGCGUUGAUCGCCUUGUAAUUUCUGCUCACAGAUUACCGUUAGACUCUGUACUUGCUUUGGAUUAUUCCGGUUUUUAAUAAAGGGCUGCAUGCAUCACUCGAUGCAGAGGCCGGGGCGAUGCCUCCUUUUCGAAAAAAAUAAGUAGGCUAGAAAUUCCAACAUUACUGUGAUUUCAAUGCAACAGGAUAUGCGCAUCAUGUGUUAACUAUGCCGGCAAUAACGACUAACAAGCAUGAUCAACAACUAUCCUACAGGUUGAUUCCAGAUUAUUUUUUAAUCCAAGGGAAACAACGAGAGCAACUAAAACCAGACCAUUACCUGGCGUAACAAAUGAAGAAGUUGGCAUCUGAUUGAUCUCGGUGACAUCCUUGUUCGUUCCUGAAGCUGACACAAUCACAACAGUCUCAUGGAUUCUCGAAAUUCUGAGCCUCAUGGCUUGGCUGGUCUUGUUGUCAUUGAAACUUAAUCGUGGAGAUCCUAAACUUUUAUGGACUCAUGGGUUAUGGGUAUAACCGGGUCUACUAGCCUACUGUUGAUGACAAACAACUGGAUUUGAUCUUCAACUUGAGGUAUCCUCGUUCCUUUUACCCAUCAAAACCAGAGACAACCACCCACCUGGCUUGUAAUGGUAAGAACUGUUUAUUUUCGCAUCGACCUAGCUAGGAUAAUUAUAGGAGAACUAGGAACAGAUCCAAAUUAAGGGCAACGCACCUGGCUUAAACGAUGUAGAUCCGGCCAGGUAUGACCUGCGGUGACCUUCUUGUGCCCUUCAGAAUCUGAAUUCAUCAAAAUUGUGUCAUGACUGAGUGGGGAACGCUAGUCUUGUUGAAGCCAUCAAGAACCAGCCAGAGAGCCCGCAAGUCAAGUCAAUGCUAUUAUUAUUGUGCUUCUGGUUGAAGCUCAAUUAUUUUCCAUCAUGCCGCAUUGUCUGAAAGCACCGUGUGUGUGUGCACAUCCGAUUACUUGCAGUGUUCAUGGGCCCCACACACAAUCACUUCGAUAUUGUUCUUGUGGUCUCUGUGCCGCCGAGUUAAUUGCAAAAAACCAUCAUAUGUGUAGCUAGGUUUACUGAAAAUUACCCGGUUCCUAAUUUUUUGCAAAAGCCACUGCAUUUCUGAUAAACUUCUUGCAAGAACUGAUAGCUUGCUUUGCCGCAUUUGAUCGCGUCUCUGACAGGUGGGGUCCAUUUUUUAGGAGUUGACCAAAAAAAUCACCACGUGUGGAGUCUUCUAACUUCUCCUCUCUUCCCCUUUCACACACACAUUACAACAAACAUGUUGUGUGCACUGGAAGGGAACUGACACCACCAGCUUCGUCACCGUCGCCAGCCGCCACGCCCCGCGCAGCCCCUCGCCUCCGUGCUCCACAAUCUUCUGCAGCCGUUCGCCGCUCGCCGGAUUGGCCGUCAUCGAACUGGUCGGCGCCGUUGUCGCCGAGGACGGUGCGGGCCAGAGCCAUCCUCUGCUUCUGCAAAUAGUCAAAGAAAUCCAUGGACGAACACUGCACGCUCGAGAUGUAUCGAUUACAUCAACGGAGAAGGAGAAGGGACCUACGGCUACGGGGUUGAGCAUGCUGUGCGCCUUGAAGCACGCCUCGAGGACGGCGUCUGGUCCUUUGACAGCCCGAGCUUCUUGCGCCCGCCGGGGCCGUCCACCGGUCCACGCCAUCGUUAUCCUCGUUGCUGCCCGCUCGACCUCGCCCGUGUGCGCCUGCGGGGGUGCACGGCGUCCUCCGGGCCGCGAACACGGAGGGUUGUGGCAUGUGCGGGCUGUGCUGCGGCGGCGGAUGCAUACAGAGCAACCGCUGGUGUGUUGUAGCCGAGAUGCAGUCGGAGUCGAAGGCCAGUUCAGGAGUUACUCACGAUGUCCCGACUAGGGGGCUCUCACCGUGGGGAGCUGCAGCACCUGCACGCCUGCAGCACUGCUAGCAUGGGUCGGUCUAUUAAAGUGUUGCUUAGUUUUUAUUUUAUUUUAUUGUUACAAAAAUAAAAAUAUAAGAUCAAAAAAGGUUUACAGAUUUAAAUUAAAAAAAGUCCAUCCAUUUGAAAAAAGAGUACAUUUCUUUAAAAAAGGUUCAUCAAUUUGAAAAAAAGCUCAUAAAAAUGAAUAAAAGUUCAUCCAAUUUAGGAAAAUUUCAUUAAAUUUUUAAAAAGUCCAAUAAAUUUGUAAAAAGUUCAUAAAAAUUCAACAAAAGUUCAUGUAUUUUUUUUAAAGUUCAUUGAACUGAAAAAAAGUUUAUAAAUCUUAAAAAAGUUCAUCCAUUUUCAAAAAGAUGUUCAUCAAAAUUCAAAAAAAUACAUCGAUAUUAAAUUUUUUUCACCAAUCUUAAAAAAUAAUUCCUGCGUUCCAAAAUAAGUGUCUUAAGCUUAAUACAAAUUUAUACUAGAGCUAGUAUAAAGUUAAGACUGUUAUUUUGGGACAGAGGGAGUAUUUGCUGAAAUUUAAAGAUGAUCAUCAAUAUUCAAUUAAGUUCAUAUAAUCUUUUUUAAAACAUCAAACAACGUCUAGAUGAGCCGGCCCAUUUAUGAACGCCACAGUCGCGUGUUAACAAAAAUGCACGUUAACUGGCGUUUCUGGUGUCAAAGAGGAAAUGCCCUCACCGUGACCAUUCCCAACCUGGUGGCGGGCCGGGUCAAAGACCUCCCUUGUCAUUUUUGUCUUGGGCCACAACGGUCAGCCCACGAUUACAAGUAAGAUCCCGAAGACUUGACGUAUACUUCAAGAUGAUAAAAUCACACGAAACCCUGGUUCCUCGUACAUAGUUGACUAGGAUCCUAUAAACAUUCGGAUCAUUGAUGCCUAUAUAAAUCAGCCUAUAUAAAUCAAGGGGCCAGACUUAAAACAUUAGAAACAUGUACAAUAUACUACAUCCAACAAAUAAACACAAGCGAAACGUAAGGUAUUAUCUUUCGGAGAGCUCGAACCUAGGUAAAAUCAUGUGUCCUUGUUACCAUUGCUCUUAGAUGCCUAGCUUAGGAUUCAUAACCUAGCUUAUCUCGAGAUCUGUCGAAUUUAACUCCGUCAAGUGGCGGUUUCCAUCAUGACAUGCCUAUCUAGCAGAAUGAUGCACUGGUGGAGAAAUGGCUAGUCACAACUUACGUUGGUGACGUGUCGUUUCUCACAUUGCCGGCACUAAUAUUUUCAAAUAGUGCUGGCAUGGGCUAAAUCCGUACGCCAUAGCUAUUAUCUUAGUGCUGGCGGCACAUUAGGCCCGGCGUUGCGCAUUCAGACCCAUUAGGCCCGUGCCAGCACUAUUCGGUUUUAACAGCCCGACGUAGUAAAAAAAGUUAUCUUUUGUCGUUACUCUCUUUCCCCAACUCCACCGACCCAUGCUCCUCUCGAUCCCCGUCGUCACCGCUGCCUGAUGCAUCCCCGUCUCCGCCCGACACCGCCCUGCCGAGGUAUGGAAAUCCAUGCAUCUCAUUUGCUUCAAAAGUAUGUUAAUUCAAAACGAUUCGUAGCUCAAAUUGCCAAUCCAGUUGGCCAGCCUUUUCACCACUAAAUGUUGCGCAACGAGAUCGCCAAAAUUAGGUCAAAACUAAUCACGUGAUACUAUAAGAGUUACCAUGCUUUUCAUAUGCCAUUAUCAACAUAAAACUUUUCUCGGUUGGUGUGUUGGAAACUAUUUAAGCCUGAAAGUUACAAAAUGAUUAGCUUUUGAUUUAUCAAACAGUUCAAGAAUAGUUAUCAACUUUGAAACUUAAAAAGAUUUCUAAAGGAUGCUUUUGUUAGGAGUUACAGAACUGCUCACAUUGUUUGAGGUGGGAGGUGGGAGUCGCCAUUCCGUUGCCUGAGUUUGGAUUCUCGGCCUAUUUCCACACUCAUAAUGAGUCUACUGAGGUUACCUCCUUCUCGCGGCCCGACCCUAAUCCUACGAUGGAUAUUCGAUCCUCGCAGGAGGCCCAUCUGGCCUUUGAUGAACUCAUUAAUGGCAUGGUUGAGGAUAUCUUUUCUUGCUCAAUUUGCAACGCUCGGGGCCAUCUAGCUGCGAACUGCACGGCUUAGCCUGGAUUCGCUGUCAGUACUGUGGGCCACACACGAUCUAGAGGAGCCUCUUUUAUGCGUAAUAAUUGUCUUACUUGGAACUGUAAGAGACCCGCCACCUCCCAUGUCGCUGAUAUCUCGGGAACUGCUGAUACUCUUGGUGAAACCGCAACGCCUGCGGCACAGUUCCGUCCUGUCUCAUCGCCGUCGCAUCCUCGAACUCCCUCCGAGACGCCACCUGCCACUCCGCCACCGCCUCCCGCAAUGGCGAACUUCGAGCUUGAUCCUGAGUUCUUCCUCCCGCCUGGCCACAACAUCAUCGAUGGAGGACCGGACCGGCUGCCUCGGACCUACACCACGCCUGCGGUCCCCAUCACCAGACGUCAUGAGCGUUUUGUCAUCGCUGACGUCCAUCCCGCACCCCCGGCUGACAACGUCAUUCAGGUACGGCAAGAAGUUGUUGCUUUUCUACUUCACCGAGGGUUUCAUGUUCGGUCUGCCCAGCCAUGGAUUGAGGGUGUUGGAUUAUUUGAGCUCCGAGAUGCGGCGGAAAGUUAUGCUGCGGUCCACAUGGUUCCGCAGGAAGUUGCUCAUAACUCUGUGGUGCGCUUCCUGCGUCAUGAUCAGGGUCUUGGUUUCCGUGGUCAAGAGGGUUUUCGUCAGGGCUGCCUCAUGAUUCUGGGGGUCCCCCUGGACUUCCGCAACACUGAAGAUCUUCGGGCUGCUGUCAACACCUUCGGAGAGUUUCACCAUUGGGUCAGUGAUGAUCCUUAUUUGGUACGCUCUAUCGUGUUUGCUUCGUUCCCAGAUGACCAGCUGGUCCCUCGCAGUAUCAACUUCUCUGAAUAUGCUGCUUGGGGAGGCGCCAAGGUUUCCUGGUCUGCGCCGGUUUACAUCCUUGGUGCGGAGGCUGCCGAGAUUUUUCCUAAUGAUGAGGAUCCCAUGCCCCUCAAUGGCAACCCUCACCCGCUCCCUGGACAUCUCGUUCAUGAUAAUCUGCAAUUUGCUCUGCCACCGUAUCCUGCGCUGGGUUGGAAUGCGGUGCCGCUGGCGCAUGAAGAUCCAGUGGUUCCUGCUGCUGAUGUUGAAGGUUGGGGACAGCCGCCUGCUGCCGCUGAUGAAGGAGGAUGGGAACCUGAAGCGGCCCCGGAAGCACCUGCUGCCGAUCCUGUUCAGGAUCAAGAGUCUAUGGUGAUUGAUCAACCGAGUCCUUCUUCUUCGGACUCGGUUCAUGAGCUUGUGGACCUAGACCCUCAGCCGCAGGGUGACAUGGAGGUGGAACCUGCUGAUCAAGAACCCCCGCUGGCUAACCCGGAUGCCCCUGAUGCUGACAUGCCACUGGCUGCCCAGGGACAUGAUGCUGAGCCGGAGGAAGAUGUGCCUGUGAUGGAGGAGGCACACGAUGACAAUCCUCUGGUAAUUGUCCUCUACAAAGCCCCUCACAUUCAGACAGACAACAUCUUUGUUGGGGCUGCAAGGGUUGUGUACGGGCCUCUUAAUUCACAUAUGUUAAUCUGUUACUGUACUAGCUCCAUGUACUGUCGAACUCCUGCUUGCCCUGUCUUUUGGUUUUCGGAACCUUGGUCGCACUGGCUAUUACAUAGCCCUGCUUUUGCUAUAUAUAUAUAUUGUGCAAUGGAUAGUCGUUCUACGAGAAGUUGGCGUGUGCUGUGUUGGAAUGUGUGUGGCCUAAAUUCAGACAUAGGCAGCGUGCGGUCCGUAACAAGAUUUAUGAGAGCCUAGCUGCUGUGGUGUGCUUGCAGGAAACAAAAAUGCAAUCAAUAGAGUUUCGUACAGUCAAAUGUUUGUGUCCCAAACGCUUUGAUCAGUUUGCUUACUCUCCUUCCAGGGGUGCAUCAGGGGGGCUUAUCACCCUUUGGAACUCUUCCAUUCUCACUGGUCAACUAGUGGAAUGCACACUGUCGUGGGUAUAAGCCUGACAGUAGAUGUGUAGGGUACGAAUGAGAUGGGCAGAGUCCUAGCUACGACGAGGUUGUAUGAGUUCAGGCCCCUCUACGGUGGAGGUAAUAGCCCUACGUCUCAGUGCUCUCGGAGCUUGUUACCGAGUGUAAUAUGGAGUACAAUGUUUUUCUAACCCCUUUACCAGUGGGGGAGGGCGGCUUAUAUAGAGUGCGCUGCCCCCCACAACGGUUCUGACUCGGGGGUGGAGUAGUGGCGAUUGAAUGCGUACGUUACAAGUAACGUAUGCUCUAAAUGCUAAUAAAUGCACCCGGAAACGUACGACAGUUUCCCUCCUAAGAGGUUACGACGUACCGAGUGUAUCCAGUCGGUGAGCCCGGUGUCCUCCGAAUGCUAGUUACCGACUGGAUGAUUCAGGGCCUGUUACCGACUGGAUGAUGGGGAUACCUUAAUUCAGUCGGGACAGACUUAAGGUCCUGUCCUUUGUGUGGGGUAGUCCUUGGGUAGGACAUGUAGGGCAGGCCUAUGACCCUACCCUAGGACUAUGACCCCAUCAUUAGUCCCCGAAUGGAUUGGGGUUGAAACGUAGAAGCGGUGCUUGAGGUUCAGACCCGACUGAACUAGGUUCGGCUUGGGCGUUGCUUGCCUCUAUCCAUUUUAUCUCUCUCGACCAACGCUCCGAGUGGAAGUGCUUGCGAAACAGACUGUCGGGAACCGAGUGUUUGCACGACAUCUUUUGACGCGACCGGUCAACUGACAGCGGCGGAUUUUCCGGGAUCUCAAAUUUCGGGUUCCGCGCGCUCAGCGGGGACGACGUCAGUGCGCUCGAGUAGCGCCUGACUCCUCGAUCCUCACGCCUUUAACUCCUCCACUGAUAUCGCCGCGGCUGGUUGGGUAGAUAAGAUUUCGGGCCCGCUCGCCAGCGACCCAGUCGGUGCUCUAUUUAACUCUGGGCGACGAGACCCUUCGGUUACGCUCGCCGAAUCUUUCGCUCUUGCUUGCUCCGUCUUCCUCGCCACCUCCUGCGCUCAUACACCUCUCUCUUCCUCUCCUUCUCGAGAGUUCACCGUCGCCUCCAUGACCAAAGGUCAGACCAGCAAGAUGGAGGCGAGGAAGAAGAAGAGCAAGGCGGCGGCUGCUGAGCGGCGGCAGCGGCCGUUGCCGGCUGGGUGGAUCCAGGGAGACUUUCUCCCCUCCACGGUGACGGAGGGGGACCUGCUGGAGCUGGUAGAGCACGGCCUGCUCACGCAUAAGUCCUGGAGGUUGCCGGCGGACGACGAGGUCGAGCCGGCGCCACGGGAGGGGGAGCGCGUCUUGCUCCUCAACCAUGUUCACAGAGGUUUCUCUCUGCCCCCGCAUCCCUUCUUCAAAGGUAUCAUGAAUCAUUUUGGUGCUCAACUCCAUCACUUCCCUCCGAAUGCCAUCGCCCAUCUUUCUGCCUUCAUUGUUUUGUGCGAGUGCUUUAUCGGUUGCCCCCCCAUUGGGGUCUAUUCAAACAUAUCUUCUCCGCCCGCUCUCAAACCAUCAAACGUCUUAGUCAGUCGGAUGACAAGACGCAUCUCCUCCAGCUCUGCGGGGGUUUAGGGUUUCAGAAGAAAAGUCGGAGUAGUUAUCCCGCUCUCCAGUUGAGCGAGUCGGUCAGGAACUGGCAGUCGACGUGAUUCUACUGCCAGGACAUAGCCUGUCCGAAUGCAUCGACGGGGCUGCCUCCGUUUAGUCUAGACCGUCCCGCUCCGCCCAAACAACUUGCGCUCUCCAAGCCGAGAAGAACGAUAUCCAGCCUUUGGUUGAGGCACUCGUGGACAUUGUCAGGAGAGGAGUCACCGGUAUAGACCUGCUGGAAGUCUUCAUCGGUCGGCGGAUCCAGCCUCUGCAGGCUCGGGACCACGCUAUGUGGCACUACACAGGGCCCGAGGAUUCCACUCGGACCAUCGUGGUGGGCAUACUCGAGGAGAAGGUGACCUCGUUGGUGCUCCAAAUCACGGGCCCUUGUGAGAACCCUAAAGGAGCUCGCCGAGUGGCGCCUUACAGCGCGGACAACCCUCCACCGAAUCAGGUGAGUGGCAUCGGCCGAGUGCGUCGAAUCGUCUUUAUUCCAGUCGUUUAUUUAUAUCCUCGUGUGAUGUUUAACGUUUCCGACUGAUCCUCAUGCAGGAGUGGACCAACUGGUUCUCCCCCGUCUCGAACGGGAAUCCGGAGGAGGAAGAGGAGGAAGGCAGCCAGGAGGGGAGCGUGGAGAGCGCCGAAUAUGUAUCCGACAGCGGAGAGUCGGAGGAGGAGGACAGCAAGGAGGAGGAAGAAGACGAAGAGCGCGACUCGCCACCUCCACGGCCAGAGCAUCGGAGUAAACGUCGACACGAGCCUGCCGUCCCUUCGGCUCCUCCUGCAUCGUCGAGUGCUCCGCCUGCCGCUCCGGUGGCUCCGAGUGCUCGAGGCACAAAGAGGUCCAGGGACGCCCCCGCUGAGCCUGCAGGCCAGUCUUCCAGGGCGCCCAAACCGAGUGGGCCCAAACCUCGGAAGGCUCUGCCUCGCAUGAGGGUUGCCCUCCCCGUCACAUCCACGUAAGUGAAUCUAACUUUCGGCUUUUUACGUUAUCCGAGUGAACUCCUGCUUUACAAGUCGAAUGGGCUUCACUCGACAGGGUCGCCACUUCUGCAACCUCUCCAGCCCGCCAAGGGGAUGACCCCAUGGACACGGACAACGUCGUCUCGUCCCAGCCAGGUAUGUUGUAGGAGAGUCGGGUGUUUUAUUCCUGUAGACUGUAACAUCCUUUUCUUUUUCUGAGUCGUCGUGCCAUUCGGCCUGUCAGGGACGAUUCACCUGGACGAGGACGAGCAAGAGAGAGCCGACCCCGCCGUGGAGCCUGUCCUGGAGCCAGUCCCUGAGGCUGCUCCUCCUGCUGCCACCCUUGUCGCCGACGCUCCGCCAACCGAAGCGCCUCCACCGACUGAACCGGUGUCGGCGGGGGAGGACCCGACUGGGGUGGAUCUUGGGAUGCCCCAAGGGCCUCCCACGAUUCCCGGUUCGUCGAAUGUUGAAUUCAGCAUCCGGCGUCUUCCAGAGGAGCAGGUGGGAGCGGCCAAGGGGGCCAUGGUGCAGGCGGAGCUCAUGGCUGGAGAAGCCAAGAGGGUUUACGACUCCGUUGUGGCGUUGUACCAGCGGAGCUUGGAGCUGCGCGACGACAUCCGAGUAAGUAGUCUAGUAAGUAUUUACUUUUCUCCUGUAACCCACUGGGUGGUAUUGUUUUUGCAAUGGGUUCACUCUGAGUGAACCCAGUGGGUGUAGUCCCCGAGACUUCUGUCGAGUGCUUGCACCGACAGUUGUCUUUAUACAUUUGGUCUUUAGUUUGGUUUAGUCCGUAGACAAGAUUUCCGAGUGCGAGUACUUACUACAGUCGGAGCACUCUUGCGGUAAGAGUCCCCGAGAGUAAAUUGCACGCAUGUCGAGUAGUAUUGGCCUCGGGGGCGUAGGUGAAAACAUGCACCUCAAUAGGGCAGACCUGUUUGAGGUGCAUGCCAGUGGGGUCACUCUUAGUGAACCCACUGGGUGUAGUCCCCGAGACCGCUGUCGACUGCUUGCAUCGGCAGGGGUCUGAAGAACUUAGCCUGUGAACUGAUAAACUUGCUGAUUACCCUUUGUUUCUUGGUGCAGAAAACUUGUGAAAUGGGAACUGCUUAUGAAGCCCUUAGAGCGGAAAAGAACCAGUAUGCUGGUGAACUGGAAGCUGCAACGCUCGCCAUGGCCGGCAUGAAAGACGCGCUGGAAGUUCGAGAGAAGUCUUUGGAGGAGGCCCUGGAAGCAAACAGGGUGUUGAUGGCAGAGGUGGAGAGACUGAAGAAACAGAGGACUGAGUGUCACAAUCAGAUGGGCGUCCUGAACAGACGAUGCAUAGCUCAAGAGAAGUAUGUCACCGACUGGGCUGCGCAAAUGAUGACUCGUCUGGCUGGUAAGUCUUAUGCUUUGUCGAGUGGUUGUACCGUGUGUCGUACACUCGGUUUUCAUUGUCUGCUUGCUCGUUUGAUGCGGACUUUUGCGGAGACCCUGAAGCUGAAGCGGCGGCUGUGGAGCGGUCUGUUAAGGACAAAGUUCCACUCGGUGAGGACGCCAAUCGGGAUCCGCUCCGAGCACAUAUCCGCGUAGGCAAAGUAGGUCCUUUCAUCGGUCGACUGAGAGAAGUCGUCGGCCGAAUUAACAAGGAACUUUGGCCAGAAGACGAGUCGCGGGAGGGGAUGGAGACCCUGACGGGCCGACUGGAGGAGGUUCCGAGCCGAGUGCAAUCUUGGAAGAAAUCGGCAGCGCGUUGCGGUGCUGAUGUUGCGCUGUCCUUGGUCCGAGUCCAUUGCAAGGAGGUGCGGGAAGAUAAGCUGAAAGCAUUGAAGGUCGCCAACACGAAGAAGCUGCGAUUCGAAGACUUCAUGGAGACGUUCCUGGAGACUGCUACCCGCAUUGCUGAUGGAAUCGACUUGGAUACUUUUGUGGAGCCCUCCAGUCCUGACGCCGGCCCAGCUGACGCAUGAUCAAACUUUAUCCUCGGUAUGCCGAGUGUUUGCCUGUAAGAUAUUCUGGCCACUUCUGUUGGCCGUCAUACUUUUAAAUCGGUGCGGGUAAGCUUGAUCCGCACCGAGUCAAUUAUUGUUUCUAGACUCUUGGAGUCGGAAUGAAAACAUUUUGUCUUUUGCUUGAGUUCUGUUUCGAGUGCAACACUUAGUGUGUACUCGGAGAAUAUUAAGACUUAGGUGAUUCGUGAUCACAACUAAUUUCCCGAGUGUGACGUAUNNNNNNNNNNNNNNNNNNNNNNNNNNNNNNNNNNNNNNNNNNNNNNNNNNNNNNNNNNNNNNNNNNNNNNNNNNNNNNNNNNNNNNNNNNNNNNNNNNNNNNNNNNNNNNNNNNNNNNNNNNNNNNNNNNNNNNNNNNNNNNNNNNNNNNNNNNNNNNNNNNNNNNNNNNNNNNNNNNNNNNNNNNNNNNNNNNNNNNNNNNNNNNNNNNNNNNNNNNNNNNNNNNNNNNNNNNNNNNNNNNNNNNNNNNNNNNNNNNNNNNNNNNNNNNNNNNNNNNNNNNNNNNNNGUAUAGUGCACACUCGAAGGAAGGUAUUACUUAGGUGAUUCCUAAUCACAGCUAAGUCCCCGAGUGCGACGUAUAAUGCACACUCGGAGGAAGGUAGUACUUAGGCGAUUAGGGAUCGCAGCUAAGUUUUUUUUUGUGUGACCGUAGUCUGCAACCGCGGAAGAACUCUGAAUCUGCAAAAGAAACUGAAUCUGUUGUAUAUUAUUUCGUCAAAACUUGUUCGUUACACUGCUCCAGUCGACGAUCACGUAUAAAAACGCUUGAGGAGGUCUCCGUUCCAUGCGCGCGGCUCGUCUGUCUCCCUCUGAAUGUUGUAGAGUCUGUAUGCCCCGUUGUUCAGCACCUUGGAAAUGAUGAAAGGCCCUUCCCAGGCCGGAGCCAACUUGUGUGGUCUUUGCUGAUCCACUCGGAGCACCAAAUCGCCAGCUUGGAAUGUGCGGCUCCUGACAUGACGUGCAUGAAAACGUCGCAGAUCUUGCUGGUAAAUUGUUGAGCGAGUAAGUGCCAUCUCGCGCUCUUCCUCUAGAAGAUCGACUCCAUCUUGCCUUGCUUGUUCUGCUUCGGCUUCGGAGAAGAGUUCGACUCGCGGGGCAUUGUGAAGCAGGUCACUCGGAAGGACCGCUUCUGCUCCAUAGACGAGGAAGAACGGUGAUCGCCCUGUUGAUCUGUUCGGAGUGGUGCGGAGGCCCCAAAGUACUGAAGGUAACUCGGUUACCCAUGCACCAGCAGCAUGUCCUACCUCUCGCAAGAGUCGAGGCUUCAAACCUUGAAGGAUAAGUCCAUUCGCACGCUCAGCUUGUCCAUUGGAUUGCGGAUGUGCUACGGAAGCAAAAUCCACUCGGAUACCCUGACUCGCACAGAAACCUUUGAAUCUGUCCGAGUCGAAGUUUGUCCCAUUGUCCGUGAUUAUGCUAUGAGGCACUCCGAAUCUGAAGAUGAUGUCCCUGACAAACUUAACGGCAGUGGAGGCGUCGAGUUUAUUGAUGGGCUUGGCUUCUAUCCAUUUUGUAAACUUGUCGACUGCCACCAACAGAUGUGUGUAGCCUCCUUGGCCUGUCUUGAAUGGUCCGACUGUGUCUAAUCCCCAAACUGCAAAGGGCCACACAAGUGGGAUUGUCUUUAGUGCAGAUGUUGGCUUGUGGGACUUGUUGGAGUAGAACUGACAGCCUUCGCAUCGAUCGACCAUAGCUUUGGCCAUCUCAUUAGCCUGCAACCAGAAGAAUACAACUCUGAACGCCUUGGCGACGAUUGCUCUCGAAGAAGCGUGAUGGCCGCAGGUUCCCGAGUGGAUAUCCUCUAGGAUCAAGUGUCCUUCCUCUGGGGAAAUGCAACAUUGGAGGACGCCUGAAACACUCUCCUUGUACAAUUGACCGUCAAUGACAGUGAAUGCCUUCGACCUGCGAACUAUUUUCCGGGCUUGGACUUCAUCUUCUGGAAGUUCUUGUCUCAGGAUAUAUGCCACAAUCGGCACAGUCCAAUCGGGAAUGAUUACCAGAAUCUCUGUGACCAGAUCAACCACAGCAGGCACAUCGACUUCAGUCGGAUCUGUUGCGCUCUUGGGUUGUACUGGUUCUUCCGUGAAGGGAUCUUCUUUAACUGAAGGAAGAUGGAGAUGCUCAAGGCAGACAUCACUCGGGACUGGUCUCCGAGUGGAUCCGAGUUUUGCCAACUCGUCCGCUGCUUGGUUCUUCAGUCUUGGAACAUGAUGAAGUUCUAGACCUUCAAACUUCUUCUCUAGCUUCCUGACUGCAUUGCAGUAUGUCGUCAUGGUGGGGUUCCUUACGUCCCACUCUUUCAUCACUUGGUUGACCACCAAGUCCGAAUCGCCGUAGACCAUCAGGCGACGGACGCCGAGUGAGAUGGCCAUGCGCAAUCUGUAGAGAAGAGCUUCAUACUCUGCCUCGUUGUUAGAGGAAUCAAAGUGUAUCUGAAGCACGUACUUGAGCUUGUCACCCUUUGGCGAUAUGAUCACAACACCAGCGCCGGAUCCAUUCAACAUCUUAGACCCAUCGAAGAACAUUGUCCAAUGGGCCGAGUAGAUGUGAGUCGGUUGCUGUUGUUCUACCCAUUCUGCUAUAAAGUCAGCCAUGGCUUGAGACUUAACAGCUUUCUUGGCCUCGAACUUGAUGUCGCAGUACAUCAUCUCCAUCGCCCACUUCGCCACUCGGCUUGAUGCGUCCCGAUUGUGGAGAAUUUCCGACAACGGAGCAUCAGAAAUGACAGAUACCGAGUGGUCUUGGAAAUAAUGGGCCACCUUCUUUGCAGUCAUAUAGAUCCCAUAGAUAAGCUUUUGAUAAUGGGGAUACCUCUGCUUGGAAGGUGUCAGGACUUCGGAGACGUAGUACACUGGCCGCUGAACUUUGUAUGCUUUGCCUUCUUCUUCUCGCUCGACUGUAAGAACAGUACUGACGACUUGAUUUGUAGCUGCGAUAUAUAGAAGAAGGGGCUCUUUACUGAGCGGAGCAGUAAGAACCGGCUGGGUGGAAAGUAGGACUUUGAGGUCGUCGAAUGCGACUUGGGCUUCGUCUGUCCACUCGAAGGUAUCUGACUUCUUCAUGAGUCGGUACAGAGGAAGUGCUUUUUCGCCGAGUCGACUGAUGAACCUGCUCAAAGCCGCUAGGAAACCUGUGAGCCGUUGAACAUCGUGUAUUCUGGCCGGCCUCUCCAUUCGGACGAUGGUCCCGAUCUUUUCGGGGUUAACAUCGAUCCCUCGUUCGGAAACGAAGAAACCGAGUAACUUUCCGUUGGGAACACCGAAUGAACAUUUGGCUGGGUUUAGCUUGAUAUCGUACCUACGAAGGUUGGCGAAUGUUUCUGCCAAGUGAGUCAGCAGGUCGGAACCUUCGCGUGACUUGACUACGAUAUCAUCCAUGUAUGCCUCCACAUUGCGACCGAUCUGGUCGAGGAGACAUUUUUGGAUCAUGCGCAUAAAGGUAGCUCCUGCAUUCUUCAGACCGAAAGGCAUGGUGAUGUAGCAGAAGCACCCAAACGGGGUGAUGAAAGCUGAUUUCAACUCAUCGGGACCAUACAGACGGAUCUGAUGAUAACCCGAGUAGGCAUCAAGAAAUGACAAACGCUCGCAUCCCGCAGUCGAAUCGACAAUUUGAUCUAUGCGGGGGAGCGGAAAAUGGUCUUUCAGACAGACCUUAUUGAGGUGCUUGAAGUCAAUGCACAUUCGGAGUGACUUGUCCUUCUUGGGCACCAUGACUACAUUGGAGAGCCACUCGGAGUGGUGAACCUCGCGAAUGAAUUUGGCAGCUAGCAGCUUAGCCACCUCUUCUCCGAUUGCCUUCCUCUUGUGCGCGGCGGACCGGCGCAGGCGCUCUCGGACAGGCCGAGCGGCGGGAUCCACAUGCAGUCGGUGCUCAGCCAACUCCCUAGGUACACCCGACAUGUCAGAUGGCUUCCAUGCGAAGAUGUCCCAGUUCUCACGGAGGAAUUGGGUGAGCUCGGCUUCCUAUUUAGGAUCUAGGGUGGUGGAGAUGUUCGUCGGGGCGGCAGACUCGUCCGUCGGGUGGAUGCUGACCUUCUUAGUCUCUCCCGCCGACUGGAAUGCGGACUCAGAAGCUGGCUUCUUUGAGCGCAUUAAGUCGGCAGGGUCGACUGUCUUCUUGUACUCUUCGAGCUCGAGUACAGCCAUCUGCUGGUCGGCGAUCCUUGAUCCCUCUUGCAGACACUCCUCGGCUCGCUGGCGGUUGCUGGUGAUGGUGCUAACGCCUUUUGGACCUGGCAUUUUCAACUUCAAGUACACAUAGCACGGGCGCGCCAUGAAACUCACGUAUGCCGGGCGGCCCAGAAUUGCAUGGUAAGCGCUCUGGAAAUCCACCACCUCAAACGUGAGCUUCUCCUUGCGAAAGUUCUUGUCAGAGCCGAAGAUGACUUCCAAUGCAAUCUGGCCGAGUGACUUGGCCUUUCGUCCAGGGACGACUCCGUGGAACUGCAUAUUGCUCUCGCUGAGUCUGGACAUCGGAAUGCCCAUCCCCUUGAGAGUGUCAGCGUACAUAAUAUUCAGUCCGCUACCGCCGUCCAUGAGGACUUUGCGCAGUCGGACUCCUUCCACCACCGGGUCGACGACCAGAGCCUGCCUUCCUGGGGUGGGGACAUGUGUUGGAUGAUCCGACUGGUCAAAGGUGAUCGCAGUCUGAGACCAUUUGAGAAACUUGGGGGCAGUCGGAACGGCCAUGUUGACUUCUCUGUUCACCAACUUCAGUCGACUCUUGCUUUCAACGUCAGCAAAAAUCAUGAGGGUUGCAUGGACUUGGGGGAACGGAUCCUCCUUGUCCUCCUCAUCUUGUUCGGGAUUCUUCUCACUCGGCUGCCCUUCGCUGAACCCCUGGAUCAAGAGACGACACUGACGAGUGGUGUGCUUCACGUAUAUGGGGUUGCCUUCCUCGUCCAUCUUCGUGUGAACUGGACAAGGCUGGUCCAGGAUGGGAUUGUUGAAAGGCUUCUUCUUGGGGGUGAACUGCGCUUUCCCUUUGCCCUUGAACUUGGCGCUGGUUACAGCUGCAGCUUCUGCUUGCGGUGUGUGCGGAACCUUUUGUUUCUGCUUCCGAGUGUUACCUCCAUCGGCAUCGCCGAUUGUCUUGUGUUUGCCGCUCCGGAUGCGGUCCUCUUCUUCACCAUUUGCGUAGCGAGCCGCUAUCUCCAUCAUCUUGCUCAUGGAGAUGUCGCCCGUUCGACCGAACUUCAAGUACAGUUCUCUGUACCGCACGCCUGCCUUGAAGGCGCAGACUGCUUGAUGCUCGGUGACGUUCUCCACCGUGUGGUAAAGAGUCGUCCAUCGCUGGAUGAAGUCGCGCAAGGGCUCAUUCGACUUCUGGACACAGUGUUGAAGCUCCACAAGACCUGCAGGGCGCUUGCACGUCCCUUCGAAGGUUCUGAUGAACACUCGGGCUAGAUCUGCCCAACUGUAAAUGCUUGAGGGGGCCAACUGGUUCAGCCAAGCCUGAGCCGAGCCGUCGAGCAUCAGAGGGAGGUGCUUCAUAGCGACAUGGUUGUCUCCUCCUCCGAUCUGGACUGCCACUCGGUAGUCGUCUAGCCAUGUUUCGGGCUUGGACUCCCCUGAGAAUUUACCGAUUCCCGCUGCCAAUCGGAAGUUGGGCGGGAUAUCAGCCGAGCGGAUGGCUCGACUAAAACACUCGGGGCCGGACACGAUGGUCCUGCUUCCACUCGGACGGUCCAUAUCGCGACCAUCGCGGUGGGCUCGACCCCUGUCGACUCUUCGCUGGGCGAUUCGCCCCCUUGCGUCGGGUCUUGGGUCGUAAGUGUCGCCGAUCGAACACCGAUCAUCAUGAUGUCGGGACCCAUAAGGCCCACCCCGUGGAGGGGUGCGUGAGCAGCGGCGAUACUGAUGAGAACCAGGGCUGUGAACCGAUCGAUGCGUGUUUGCAUGGACAGAACUGUUGUGGAUCCGAUUGUGUGACUGGGAGACUGCCGAAUUCUGCUGCUGCGCCGUGCGCAACAGAGCUCGGAUUUGCUCGAUUCCCCUUCCUGCCUCUGAAUCAGUCGGCUGGAGGGAAUCGGCAAUCUGGGCAGCCGCGGCCAAGUUGAGGAGAGGUGUGCGGAACAACUCCACGUUGCUCCGCCGAGUGUGUCGACUGGCAGAACGACUAGGCAGACGGCGCGCACCGAAUGCUUCGCCAAUUUCACCUCGAUCGGCUUGACGAGGAUCUUUGUGGGAGUUGGUCAUGUGUACUUCUGCUGCAUGCCCACGACCCGCGUACUCGGAAGGGAGCUCAGUCGGAACCGAGCCCGAGCACUGGGAACGCGGGGCGACCACAACAGACUCCAGAACUGCCACCUAAGAGGACGCGAUCUGACGCGCUUGGGCAUGUUGCACCCAACGUUGGAGACGUGGACUAUGGGACCGCUUACUGCGACGCGUGACGAAGGUGCAAGCCGGCAAUGGAGCCGAUUGUUGGAGAAGAAGAACGCCGCGAGUGCCGGCACAGAAGUGCGUGGCCCCGCGACGGGGAAGCGCCUCGACGUCGAGAGGUGCCUCCCGAAGCCACGCCGAAUCGUCGACGACGAAGGAGAGAGCACCGAAGAGGAUCCGGUGACCCAUGCUCGAAUCUCCACCGGACGACAUGACGAAACGAAGUAGUCGCAAACUCGCCGGAAGUCGCUUAGACGCCUGCCCCACGGUGGGCGCCAACUGUCGUGGGUAUAAGCCUGACAGUAGAUGUGUAGGGUACGAAUGAGAUGGGCAGAGUCCUAGCUACGGCGAGGUUGUAUGAGUUUAGGCCCCUCUACGGUGGAGGUAAUAGCCCUACGUCUCAGUGCUCUCGGAGCUUGUUACCGAGUGUAAUAUGGAGUACAAUGUUUUUCUAAUCCCUUUACCAGUGGGGGAGGGCGGCUUAUAUAGAGUGCGCUGCCCCCCACAACAGUUCUGACUCAGGGGUGGAGUAGUGGCGAUUGAAUGCGUACGUUACAGGUAACAUAUGCUCUAAAUGCUAAUAAAUGCACCCGGAAACGUACGGCAGUUUCCCUCCUGAGAGGUUACGACGUACCGAGUGUAUCCAGUCGGUGAGCCUGGUGUCCUCUGAAUGCUAGUUACCGACUGGAUGAUUCAAGGCCUGUUACCGACUGGAUGACGGGGAUACCUUAAUUCAGUCGGGACAGACUUAAGGUCCUGUCCUUUGUGUGGGGUAGUCCUUGGGUAGGACAUGUAGGGCAGGCCUAUGACCCUACCCUAGGACUAUGACCCCAUCACACACCCUAUGGAUUGAUCAUCUCUUUUACCUCAAAUCACACGGGUGAAUCAUGGACUCUAGUGAAUGUCUAUGGUCCAUGUCAAGGUGAAGCGAGAGAUCUUUUUGUUAGCUGGCUCUAUAAUCUGAAUAUUCCCACUAGAGCUAAUUGGUUGCUUCUUGGAGAUUUUAAUUUCAUUAGAUCCCCUGACAACAGAAACCUUCCCGGGGCUGAUGUAAAUGACAUGUUCAUCUUCAAUGAAAUUAUUGGGCAUCUGGGAUUGCUGGAACUACCCAUUAAAGGCAGAUCUUACACUUGGUCCAAUAUGCAAGAUUCCCCUCUUCUGGAGCAGCUUGACUGGUUUUUCACAUCAGCCAACUGGAUCUCCUCAUAUCCUCUUACCCAAGUGCUACCCCUUGCAAAGACUGCUUCUGAUCACGUUCCUUGUGUGGUCUCUGUCAACACUUCCAUCCCUAAAUGCAACCUAUUUCGCUUUGAAAACUACUGGGUUGAAAUGGAGGGCUUCAUGGAAUGUGUCCAGCAAUCCUGGCUCAUUUCUUCAAGGAAAACCCACAUUACUGCUGUUAUUAUGGAUAAGAUGAAGCAUCUUAGGCAGGCUUUGAAAAAAUGGCAGACAAAUCUAUCACAGUUAAAAACUUUUAUUUCCAGAUGUAAUCAAGUUGUGCUGUGUUUGGAUGAGCUUGAGGAGUUGAGGUCACUUUUCAGACCAGAAGCUAAUUUUAGGAAAAUUGUUAAAUUACAUUUGGAACAUCUUCUGCAUCUUCAGUGCUUGUACUGGAAGAAGAGAGUCACUAUCAGAUUUGUUAAGGUUGGUGAGGAAAACACUAAAUUCUUCCAUGCUAUGGCUAGUGAGAGAUAUAGGAGGAAUUCCAUUGCAACCCUCAAGUUAAAUGAUGGUUCUAUCAUAUCUGAUCAUGAUCAAAUUGCUGCAUGCUUUUGGGCAUCUUUUAAGGAUAGAAUGGGAACUUCUCUUGGCAUUAACAUGGCAUUUGAUUUACAAUCCAUGCUACAUGAGGUGGAGGGUCUAGAUAUUCUCACAGAACCUUUCUCUAAGUCUGAAAUGGAUAAGACUGUUCAGGAUAUGCCCAUUGACAAAGCUCCAGGUCCUGAUGGUUUCAGUGGUCUUUUCUUCAAGAAAUGCUGGCACAUUAUCUCCCCUGAGUUUUAUCAACUUGCUGCUGCUUUUCAUGCUAGUCAGGCUAAGCUUCAGAACAUGAACUCAUCUUAUAUUACUCUGAUUCCAAAGAAGAGAUCACCUGAACAUGUGGGAGAUUACAGACCAAUAUCACUUACUGGAAUGGGUCUCAAAUUUCUGUCCAAAAUGAUUGCUAACAGGCUACAGUUGCAGAUUGGGAAGUGCCUCCACAAGAAUCAGUAUGGUUUUAUCAAAUCUAGGACCAUUCAAGGUUGUGUGGGAUGGACUCUGAAAUACCUGCACCAAUGUCAUCAAUCCAAGAAACCUAUAGUUAUUCUUAAGCUGGAUUUUGAAAAGGCCUUUGAUUCUGUGGAACAUGAGUUCAUUUUCCAAAUUCUUAAGCACAAAGGCUUCAAUGACAGAUGGAUCCUUUGGGUUAAACAGCUCCUAACUUCUGGCUCAUCUUCAGUUUUGAUCAAUGGUGUGCCUGGAAAGAAGUUCAUGUGCAAGAAAGGUGUCAGGCAGGGAGAUCCCAUGUCUCCACUGCUUUUUGCUAUUGCUGCUGAUUUUUUACAAACUCUGGUUAAUCAACUGCUGGUGGAGGGGCUGAUACAGCUGCCCAUACCUUGUCAUGAUAAGGAUUUCCCCAUAGUGCAAUAUGCUGAUGAUACCCUUAUCAUCCUACCUGCUGAUAAAUCCCAGUUGUUGCAGUUCAAGAAAAUGCUCUUACUUUUCUCCCAGUCCAGUGGAUUACAGGUGAACUACCACAAAUCUGCCCUUCUACCUGUUAACACUUCUCCUCAGCAUCUACAGGAUCUGGCAGACUCCAUUGGUUGCAAGGUGGGAUCUUUGCCCUUCACAUAUCUUGGCCUUCCUGUUGGGACAACUAAACCAAGAAUCAUUGAUCUCAUGCCUCUGGUUGAUAACAUGGAAAGAAGACUCAGUGCUAGUUCAUCUUUUCUUGCUCAGGGGGGAAGGCUGCAAUAUUUAAACUCAUCCCUGUCUUCUGUGCCUAUCUACUUUCUAUGCAGUCUGGAUAUCCCACCAGGCAUACUGAAGCAGCUGGAGAGGAUUCAAAGGCAAUGUCUAUGGAGAAGAAAUGGGAAUGAUCAUGCACCCUCUCUUGCUGCUUGGCCUCUGGUGUGCAAGCCUAAAAAUAAAGGGGGGCUAGGGAUUAUGAACCUAGCAGUCCAGAAUGAAACACUACUGCUCAAACAUGUUGAUAAAUUCCUCAAUCAUGCUGAUAUCCCUUGGGUUCACUUGAUUUGGAACACUUACUAUCAUGACACAGUACCUCAGGGAACUGUCCUUUGUGGUUCUUUUUGGUGGAAGGAUAUCUGUAAACGACUUGACAAAUUCAGAUCAGUUACAUAUGUUCUGCCGAACAAGGGUGACUCCUUCCUGUUUUGGUCUGAUUCCUGGUUGAUUGGAAAUUCCAUUAUGCCACUGGCUGCCAGAUUCCAAAGACUGUUUUCUUUUGUGGCUGAUCCUUUCUGCACAGUUCAAGAGGUCUUUACAGCCUUUUAUGAUGACAGCAUGCUCUCCAUGUUUCACUUACCACUGUCUGCUCAAGCUUAUCAGGAACUGCUUUCGGUCCAAUCUUUGCUUCACGACCUGGUUCUUGAUCACCAGGCCUCUGACAGAUGGGUAUGGGGAAAGGAUGCUAAGGUUUACACAGCCAAGAGUUACUAUGCUCAUAUUCAUAGCAGUAUUAUACCAAACCCUUUACUCAACUGGAUCUGGAGAAGCUGUUGUACCAUGAGGAUUAAGAUGUUUGCCUGGAUGCUCAUCAUGGACAGGCUAAAUACUCAAGUUAUGCUUGAACGGCGUCACUGGAAUGUUUCUGACUCCAACCUUUGUGUUCUAUGUCACGCUCGAGUCAAGGAAGACAGAGAUCACUUAUUCUUCAACAGUCUUUUCAGUACCAGGGUUUGGAAUUACCUGCAGAUCACAUGGCAGGGUCCAUCCAUGUGGAGUGAUGCUGUUGCUGCUAAAAGGGACUUCCAUAACCCUUUCUUUGCUGAGGUGGUCUUCACUGCAUGUUGGAACAUCUGGACUAUCAGAAAUGCAAAGGUCUUCAACCAGGAGCAGCCAAAGUUCAGAAAAUGGAGAUCUGGAUUCAUUCAUGACAUUUCUCUGUUAGCUCAUAGAAUUAAGGCUAGUUUCAGGGAUGAUCUCCUUAAAUGGGUUUCCUUUUUGCCUCCUUGAGGUUUGUAAUCUUUGCUCCUCUUCCCCAUUGUACAUUCUAAUUUCCUCUUGUACAUAUUGCUCUCAUAUAUGGGAAUAAAGGAAAAANNNNNNNNNNNNNNNNNNNNNNNNNNNNNNNNNNNNNNNNNNNNNNNNNNNNNNNNNNNNNNNNNNNNNNNNNNNNNNNNNNNNNNNNNNNNNNNNNNNNNNNNNNNNNNNNNNNNNNNNNNNNNNNNNNNNNNNNNNNNNNNNNNNNNNNNNNNNNNNNNNNNNNNNNNNNNNNNNNNNNNNNNNNNNNNNGCCGGUCAAAAAAAAUAUUAUCAUGUGUUAAAAAACCUUGAAUUUGUUUUUUUGUUGCACAACCCUCAUUUCAACAUAUUUCGAUCUGAAAAUAUACACACUUGUGUAUUACUCCUUGAUGUAUACAUGUACAAAAAAUUCAGAUUUUUUUAAACUGAAAAAUAUGAAUUUUCAUGAAUUUUGGAUUUCACAUUUAGAGGCCACCAUGGAGGCCAAGCUCCAAAAGCAAUUUUCGACAUAUUGAUUGUUAUAUUCUUGGAUGUUGGGAAACUAUAUGACUAUCCAUAGUGUGAGUAACUUAGCUAAUAACAUAGAUGUCACGUGGGAAAAACCCCGAUGUGACAAGCAAUUAGCAAAGAGAGAGAGGUUUGCGGUAACAUGAUAUGUUACUCGAUCAUCACAUCCAUGUUAAAAUUCAAGGGUUGUUUGGUUUGUGACUAAUUUUGUCAAGCUAAAGUGUAGCAAGCCAAACUGUGGUAAAAACCAAACACAUUCCAACUAAACUCUGGUUGUCAAACUUUGACUUGGUAAAUUGUGGUUGUGAACCAAAUUGUCCCUUAGUGUGUAUGUAAUGUGUGGCCCUAGUGGGGCUUGGUACUAUCUGUUCGAAUUAUGCCCUAGAGNAUAGGAUGACCUCAUUCGAUUACCGUAAAGUUUUUGGACAUUACCCAGAAUGUACCCGGAGUGACGAAUGGGUUCCGGAUGUUCACCGGGGGGUCAGCCCACCCGGGGGAAGCCCAUAGGCCUUAGGGGUGCCGCACCAGCCCUUAGUGGGCUGGUGGGACAGCCCAAGAGGCCCUAUGCGCAGGAAUCAAAGAAAAAAAGGGGAAGUGGGAAAGUGGAGAAGGACUCCACCUUCCAAUCCUAGUUGGACUAGGAUUGGAAGGGGAGGACUCCCCCCUUGCUUCGGCCGACCCCUUGGGGCUCUCUUGAGCCUCAAGGCAGGUCCCUCCCCCUCCCUCCUAUAUAUAUUGAGGUAUUAGGGCUGAUUUGAGACAACUUUGCCACGGCAGCCCGACCACAUACCUCCACGGUUUUUCCUCUAGAUCGUAUUUCUGCGGAGCUCGGGCGGAGCCCUGCUGAGAUAGAUCACUACCAACCUCCGGAGCGCCAUCACGCUGCCGGAGAACUCAUCUACCUCUCCGUCUCNNNNNNNNNNNNNNNNNNNNNNNNNNNNNNNNNNNNNNNNNNNNNNNNNNNNNNNNNNNNNNNNNNNNNNNNNNNNNNNNNNNNNNNNNNNNNNNNNNNNNNNNNNNNNNNNNNNNNNNNNNNNNNNNNNNNNNNNNNNNNNNNNNNNNNNNNNNNNNNNNNNNNNNNNNNNNNNNNNNNNNNNNNNNNNNNNNNNNNNNNCUGUACGUGUGCUGAAGGCGGAGGUGCCGUCUGUUCGGCACUAGAUCGGAGCGGAUCGUGGGACAGAUCGCAGGACGGUUCGCGGGGCGGAUCGAGGGACGUGAGGACGUUCCACUACAUCAACCGCGUUUCUUAACACUUCCUGCUGUGCGAUCUACAAGGGUACGUAGAUCAGAAAUCCCCUCUCGUAGAUGGACAUCACCAUGAUAGGUCUUCGUGCGCGUAGGAAUUUUUUGUUUCCCANNNNNNNNNNNNNNNNNNNNNNNNNNNNNNNNNNNNNNNNNNNNNNNNNNNNNNNNNNNNNNNNNNNNNNNNNNNNNNNNNNNNNNNNNNNNNNNNNNNNNNNNNNNNNNNNNNNNNNNNNNNNNNNNNNNNNNNNNNNNNNNNNNNNNNNNNNNNNNNNNNNNNNCGUUCCCCAACAGUGGUAUCAGAGCUAGGUUCAUGCGUAGAUGUCAUCUCGAGUAGAACACAAAAGUUUUUGUGGGCGGUGAUGUGCAAUUUUCUGCCCUCCUUAGUCUUUUCUUGAUUUCGCGGUAUUGUUGGAUCGAAGCGGCCCGGACCGACAUUACUCGUACGCUUACGAGAGACUGGUUUCAUCGCUACGAGCAGCCCCGUUGCUCAAAGAUGACUGGCGAGUGUCGGUUUCUCCAACUUUAGUUUGAAUCGGAUUUGACCGAGGAGGUCCUUGGAGAGAGGUGAAAUAGCAAUUCAUACAUCCCUGUUGUGGUGUUUGCGUAAGUAAGAUGCGAUCCUACUUGAUACCCAUGGCAACCACGUAAAACAUGCAACAACAUCUGACUUGUUUUUGCACGGUAUGCUUGUGAUGUGAUAUGGCCGGCGAUGUGAUGUGAUAUAUUGGAUGUAUGAGAUGAUCAUGUUGUAAUAGUUAAUAUCGACUUGCACGUCGGUGGUACGGCAACCGGCAGGAGCCAUAGGGUUGUCUUUAAACUAAUGUUUGUGCUUGCAGAUGCGUUUACUAUAUUGCUAGGACGUAGCUAUUCUUGGUGUUGUUCCUCGUCAUCAUUCUCAGCUUGCAAAUUUGAAGGAGUGUUUCUCUCAGUCUUUUUCCAUUCUUGUGAAGAUUGUCAUCUCAGCUUCGUGUUAUCAUCUUGAAUUUGUUGUCAAUCAUGAGAAUCUGUUUCUUGCUAUCCGGUGCAUUUCUAAAUUGUUUCAUUCUCGUUCCUCCGAAGGCCAUCAUUUCAGAAGAUUCUUCGUUCUCAGCUUUCAUCCUCAAAUCUUCUCAAUUGUUGCCUCUUCGUUCGUCUCUUGAUUAUUCCGGUACCUUAUUCAAGUUUUCUGUUAGGUGGCUCAAGAUCUUUUCAUUCUCAUGUAUCUCCAGUCAUUCAUGGUUGCCUCAUUCAUUUCAAUUCUCACCGGUGCCUCUUUCAAGAUUUCUUCUAGUUUGUGCUUAUAUCUCUCCUUAAUCAUUUCAAGAAGAAUAAGUGGUAUGCUAGAUCCGUUGCUUGUCAUCAAUUUAAUUUGAUGAAGGAUAAGCAUAACAUAAUUCUUAUUCUUGUUCAUAGUAAUCUGAAUUCUUCUCCGGAGCGACUCAUUAUGUCAAUUCCUUUUUCUCAAGUGUUCUUAUCUUUUCUUUUCGGAGUUCCAAGUUCUAUCAAGUAUCUCUUUGUGAGGCUUCAUCUAAAUCCUGGCAAGGUCAUAAUCUUAUUAUUUUCUACCUUCAUAUUUGUUGCAUCAUUCUUUUAUAUACGGAGGUCCUUCAUGGUGGUUCAUCAAGGUUUCAAUCCAUUCUCAAGUGUUCUUCAACAUUCUUAUUGGAGAACCUCAAGUUUUCUUCUCUUGCAUCUCCAAGUGAAAUUGUUCUUCUUUAUCCUUUGAGGGGGUAUUAUAGCAUUCUUGUUAGUGUAGGAGCCUCGAAGAGUUUUCCUUUCAAGAAUGACAUAAUUAAAUCCACCAAUUCUAUGAUCAUGAGAUAUUUUCAACUCAUGGUUUCUUCCUUGAGUUAUCUUGGUUUGGAGUUCACCUAAAGCUUUUCCUAUGGAUUGUUGCUAUUAUGGUGCUUGUCUUUAAUCCAAGUUCUCAAUGUUUCCUCUUGGUGUAACUAAUUGUUCAUAUCUUGUUUCUCCCAAUCAAUCCUUGUUUCUUUUAGUGGCUGGUUGUCACUUCAUUAGUUUGAAAGGUUUCCAUAAGCCCACUACUAUCUUGUUCUUUUCGUUGUUGGUUUUCCAAUUGCUACGUCAAUUCUCUAUCCGGAGGCCCUUCAAUUCUAUUGUGAUGAUAGUUGGCAUUCUUUCUUCAUUCUUUUCUUCCGUAUGAGCUAGUUCCUAUUCUAUUGUUCCGAAGGCAUUGUGAUGUUGCUCUUUUGGGUCUAUUAUGUUGUUCUAUCAAAUUCAUGGUGUUCCCUUGCUCUAUUUACUUGUUUGUUGUGAAUAUUGUCUAUUUCUUUCACCUUUUCGAAAUUUUUGUCCCUUUUUCCUACCAAAGUGUUGCCGAAAUUUUCCGUGAAUUCUUGCUUCUUUCCCAUAUCAGUCCUCAUCUCUUUGCAACCUUCAAGGAUCGUGGUUUCACUCGUUUGUCAAAGAAGCGACUAAGUUUUUACCUCUUGUUCUUUCUCAUCCUCUCCCCUUUUCAUUCUUGGAUCUCGGCGCGAGAUCCUCUUGUAGUGUAGGAGAGUUGUGACAGCCCGAUGCCGACGUUCCAGAAGAUUCCCCUUUUCUUUCCGUUUUCGUCGUGUGUGUAUUUUCUUUUGUCGCAUCAUCAUCGCAUCAUGCACAUCAUCAGCAUUGCAUUGGCAUCUCCGUUGCCGCCAGUUUUCAAAACUUGCAUCCGUUGUUAGUUGCCGGUCCUCGACGUUGUCCGUUCUGAGUCCGACCGCACUCGCACGCGCCGCGGCACCGUCGAAACUCUGUUUUAAAAGUGUGCGUUAAACUUUGUCUGAUCGGGUUGAGAUUUGAUGUGCGGUCUUAUUUUAAUAUAGCUAGGCCGCUUGUCGAAUUUCGUCGUGAUCGGAGAUCGUCUGGUACCCGAACGGACGACCGUAGCGGCACCGUAUUCGGUCUACCGUCGGACGUCUGUCGGUGAUUUAAAAUUCAUUGCCGCGCCGCCCGUUCUCCCUCUCGUCUCCGGUAAACCACCCUACACGGCCACUUACCCGUUCCCGCGUUCGGAAUCGUCUGAAUCCGACCGCACGGUUGGAUCCGGAACGCGAUUCCGGGUAACCUAGCCCCCCGUUUGUCUAUAUAUAGACCCCAUGGCAUUAAUUAGACAGCUACUCCCUCUUCACCUCGUUUUCCGUGCCCCUCCUAACCCUAACCGCGCAGCCACCCACCUCCAGCCUCCUCCUCGCACCGCCGGGCCCGCGAGCCCACGCGAGGCCCGUCGAGCCCAUCCGACCGCCGCCCCCAUUCUCCUUCGUGCCCGAGCUCGUGCCCGAGCCGCCGCCGCCCCGAUCUGCCCCCGAGCUCCCCCAGCGAGGCCGCGCCCCGGGCCUCCCGCUCCUGGCCGCGCUGCCCAGGACCUCGCCCCUUGCCGCACCGUCCCGUGCCUCGAGUCGUCGGCCCCGUCCCCUGCUUGCUCCUCCAUGUCCGCCACCGGCUCUGUCCAAGCCGCCGUGCCUUGCCCUGCCUUGUCUCCGCCGCCUCACGCCCCACCGCGGUCGGGAAUGGGUCCGAACCGGCCGGAUUCGGUGGAUCCGCCGAUUCCCCCCUUGCCCGGCGCUCUCCCUCAUCGCCCCUUCACUGGAGUUGCGCCCGCAGCCAUGGCGGCCUCCCUGGUGCACCUGCACGAGAGGAGGGGGACGCGUCCGUGCCGCCAGUUGGCCCAGCUGCAGCUGCGUGGCCUGGCCUAGGUGGAGCUCGAGCCAGGCCCAGCCGGCUAGCCCCUCCGUGCCUCAGGCCCAGCUAGGCUCGGCCUGCCUAGCGCCCAGCAGCCAGGCUGCCUCGCCCCCUCGGCCCACUUCCUCCUCGACGGCCCAAGGUGAGCCGAGUUCUGUCACUCGCCCGUGUGCAUUUUUCUUAUGUAACACCCUUGCCUCUGUAGCCCAUUAGGAAAGGAUUUCGGCCCGGUAGUAAUUUUUCUUUUUAGGUUAUUUUCGGAAUUUAAUAAAAUUCCAGAAAUAGACAUAUAUUAGAGUCCCCGUAUCUUUUAAUCCGUUAAUCGGAUCGCGACGUAUUAGACAUGUUUUUUCUUGUAGUUUUUCGCGUAGUAUCCGUUUUUGCAACUUGCAUAAAUGUUUGAGGUGGUUUGACCCACUGUUUGCCUAGUUAUGCGUGUUGUCCUAAUAGGUUCCGACCCGUAUUUAUUUUUCGCGCUAGACCGGGUUGCUCGAAUGCCUUAGAUAAAAUGCCCAUGUUUUAGGAACCUAUUUCCCAUGUAUUUUAGAGCGGUCGUUGGUAUUUUUGCGCGUAGGGAUUUGCCGGUAGUUUAUUUUUCCGUGUAUAGGUUAUUUUUCUCGCAUUUUUGUGCGGCUUUAUUUUGUGUUGCAAACCCCACAUAUUUUAUAUGUUUCCGGGUAGAAAAAUCCCAUGGAUUUUUCUGUGCAAUUAGUUUUAGCAUUAGAGCAAGUUAGUUCGCGAGAUAUUUUGCUAAGUUGCCCUUUUGUUUAAUUCGUAGGAUUUAUUCCGUGCCUCGUUGGAUUUAGUUGUCAACUAGAGAGUUGAUCUUGGAUGUUUUGUUUAGCCCCUGGUAUUUUUGGUUGCAAUAGAAAUGCAUGUUUAGGUGUGUUUUGAUUGCCCUCAAGUUGCUAGAAAUAGUGCUGUUUUGGACGUGCUGAAAUAUUUCUAAGUCUGGAAUCUGUUUUAUUUUGUUGUUGUCUUGUCUUGCUUGCAUCUUGUGAUCUGUUGCUCUUUUGAGGUUGGUCCAAUGGAGUUAGUUGUAUCCCUUUUAUUUCUCUAGCAUGCUGUAAAUUUUCAUGUCAUUUGGAGUCCUUUAGAUAUAGAUUUUGCUGCUGUCAAUUUUGCUUCAGAUCGAAAAAUGCACUUUCAUGAGGUGUUAUUUUCACUAAGUCUGAAAUAGAGUGUGAGAUGCCAUUUUCUGUCUUCUUUUCCUAGUGCUCCUUGCUGCCAUGCUAGUUGUUGUUAGUUGUUUGUAGUAGUGCGUCUUGCCCUCUUUCGUGUCAUGCCUUGCUUGAGUUUAUCGGAGUUGUGUAGCUCGUAGUUGUGGGGCGUAGAAAGUGGUAUGUGGCUGAUUUUGGCAGAUUGUAGUCGGUUCUUGUUUUGCUCGUAUCUUUUGAACCGUAGCUCCGAUUUGAUCGCGUCCUACAUGAAACUUGCUUAGAAUCUCAUGUAGUUUCAUUUUCCCUUGCUGGUUGGAUGUUUUGAAGUGCUCGUAGCCGCCGUUGCACACAUAUCGCAUUCAUGUCAUCAUAACUUGCGACGCUUGUAACUUUUGAUCCGUAGCUCCGUUGGAGAUGUUCUUUAUGUGUAGAUUGCUUGCCUUGACGCGUAGAAUCACGUGAACCUAUUUGUUUUGCUGUUUAACAACCAAUUAAAUGUGUUAGUUCAGAUCUGGACAGAAUUGUAAAUUAACAUGUGAGGUCGUCUCGGAGAUGCUAUAUGUCAUUUCCGACCUCAUUUAAAAUGUCUAGAUAGGUAGGUUAAUUUCCGCUUCACCUCUUGCAAGUUUGACAACAUUAAUAUUGUCGUGUAAAUAACCGGGAGUGAACUAAAUAAUUCAUAUGUGGAGUUUCGUCAAUAUGCAACUCGUUGCAUAUUGAACUUCACUUAAUGUGUAGUGUUUGUUUGUGUGAUUUGUCAUGCCGUGACUUGCAUGUAUUCAGCUGCUCAUGCAUCAUUUGUGUUGUGCAUCGUGUGGUGAAUUCCGUGUGUUGAUUUUUGUUUCCGUUUUGCUUCUUCUCGAUAGAGUUCCGCAGCGUGCCGGAUUGUGAGGACCCGUUCGACUACGUCGGUUCGUCUGCUUCACGGAGGCAUUCUUCUUCCAAGCGGGAUCUCAGGCAAGAUGAUCAUUUCCCCAUAUACCAUUACUAUCAUUUCCAUGCUAGUUAUUUUGAUGCUGUCGUUUAUGUCUCGUUGCCUACCACAUGUUGAAUAUCAGCCUCUCAACAAUGCCAUGAUAAUCUUCAACCUGAUCAACCUAGCAAACCACUGAUUGGCUAUGUUACUGCUUGCUUAACCCUGUUGUUAGCGUUGCUAGUUGCAGGUGUAGUUGCUUCCAUGCGAAAGCAUGGGUUCCUUGUUAUAUCACCAUAUUAAAUGCUAUUUAAUUUAAUGCACCUAUAUACUUGGUAAAAGGUGGAAGACUCGGCCUUUCUAGCCUGGUGUUUUGUUCCACCUUUGCCCCCUUAGUUUCCGGCUACCGGUGUUAUGUUCCAUAAUUGAGCGCUCCUAACACGAUCGGGGUUGUUAUGGGGACCCCCUUGAUAAUUCGUUUUAGAUUAAAGCUGGUCUGGCAAGGCCCAACAUUGGUACUACAUUUGCCUAAUCACCUAAUAAAAUUGCAUAAGGAUUUUCCGGACCCCGAGGAUAAUUUAAUCAACCCCCGGGCCAGUGCUCCUCAUGAGUGUUGGUCCAAAACAGAGCAGCUUAUUAACGCUACCCGGGGCAACUCGGCGUUUGGCAUGGUAACCAUCGCUCAUCCGUCGUGUCCUGAGAACGAGGUACGCGACUCCUAUUGGGAUCGUCGACACGUCGGGCGGCCUUGCUGGAUUAGUUUUACCUUUGACGAGAUAUCUUGUGCAUCGGGGAUUCCGGUGAUGCUUUGGGUAAUCUCAGAGUUGAAGUUUUCCACUAGGGAAUCCGACGAGAUCGCGAGCUUCGUGAUUGAGGAUUUCUAUGCGGCUUGUGGUAAUUUGUGAUGGACUAGUUGGAGCACCCCUGCAGGGUUAAAUCUUUUUGGAAAGCCGUCCCCGCGGUUAUGUGGCAACGUGGAAACUUUGUUUAACACUGGAUCUAGAUAACUUGAAGUUAACUUAAUUAAAACAUGCCAACUGUGUGCGUAACCGUGACUAUCUCUUCCGUGAGUUCCUUCUCCGAUUGAGGACACGGUGGGGUUAUGUCUGACGUAGGUAGGUGUUCAGGAUCAUUCAUUUGGUCAUCAGUAGUUCACGUCCAUUAUGCGUAGAUCUUCCCCCUCUUAUUUCUUGUACUCUUAAGUUUAGCCACCGAAUAUAUGCUUAGCCGCUGCUGCAACCUCACCACUUAACCUUACCUCACCCAUUAAGCUUUGCUAGUCUUGAUACCUCUGGAAAUGAGAUUGCUGAGUCCCCUGUGGCUCACAGAUUACUACACCACCAGUUGCAGGUACAUGUAAAGGUUACUUGACGCGAGCGCGUUGAUUGUUCAUUUGAAUUGCUUCUUCUUCUUCUUCUUCAUCGAUCUAGGAUGGGUUCCACGCCGGCAACCUGGGAUAGCAAGGAUGGACGUCGUUCUUUCUUUUCUCGUUUGUUUUCGUCCGUAGUCGGACCCUGCUCUUACUCUUGAUGUUUAUGUAAUGUACUGUUGUGACUCUGAUGUAGCUUGUGGCGAGUGUAAGCCAACUCUCUAUGUAUAUCUCUUCUUUUCAGUACAUGUACUUGAAACGAUAUCCAUUCUUGCAACGCGACGAGAUGCGCUUCUAUCCCUGACGAGGCCUUUGUGCCAAAUUGAGGAUAGGGUUGCAUCUUGGGCGUGACAGUGGCGCCGGUGACAAGAAGAUCGUGUCGGUGCUUUGGUGAUGGAGAUCAAGAAGCACAUGAUGAUGGCCAUAUCAUGUCACUUAUGAAUUGCAUGUGAUGUUAAUCUUUUUAUGCACCUUAUUUUGCUUAGAACGACGGUAGCAUUAUGAGGUGAUCUCUCACUAAAAUUUCAAGACAAAAUUGUGUUCUCCCCGACUGUGCACCGUUGCUACAGUUUGUCGUUUCGAGACACCACAUGAUGAUCGGGUGUGAUAGACUCAACGUUCACAUACAACGGGUGCAAAACAGUUGCACACGCGGAACACUCGGGUUAAGCUUGACGAGCCUAGCAUGUGCAGACAUGGCCUGGGAACUCAUGAGACCGAAAGGUCGAUCAUGAAUCAUAUAGUUGAUAUGCUUAGCAUAGGGAUGCUUACUAGUGAAACUAUCCUCAACUCACGUGAUGAUCAGACUUGAGCUAGUGGAAUUGGAUCAUGAACCACUCAAACGACUAGAGAGAUGUACUUUUUGAGUGGGAGUUUAGCAAGUAAUUUGAUUAGUUAAACUCUAAUUAUAUUGAACAUAGUCUAAGUCCACUUUGAAAAUAUUUGUGUUGUAGAUCAAGGGCUCACGCGACAGUCACCCUGAAUUUUAAUACGUUCCUAGAGAAAGCUAAGUUGAAAGAUGAUGGAAGCAACUUUGUAGACUGGGCUCGUAAUCUUAAGUUGCUCCUGCAAGCUGGGAAGAAGGAUUAUGUCCUUAAUGCUGUGCUAGGAGAUGAACCACCCGCCGCGGCUGACCAAGAUGCUAAGAACGCUUGGUUAGCACGCAAGGAGGACUACUCAGUAGUUCAAUGUGCAGUCUUGUAUGGCUUAGAACCGGGACUUCAAUGUCGCUUUGAGCAUCAUGGAGCAUAUGAGAUGUUCCAGGAGUUGAAGUUUAUCUUUCAGAAGAACGCCCGGAUCGAGAGGUAUGAGACCUCCGAUAAAUUAUAUGCUUGCAAGAUGGAGGAGAAUUCGUCUAUCAGUGAACAUGUGCUCAAAAUGUCUGGGUACUCAAACCGUCUAGCGGAGCUGGGGAUUGAACUCCCGCAAGAAUCUAUCACUGACAGAAUCCUUCAAUCACUGCCACCAAGCUAUAAAGGCUUUGUGUUGAACUACAACAUGCAAGGGAUGAACAAGUCACCCGGCGAGUUGUUUGCGAUUCUGAAAGUCGCAGAGUCAGAACUCCGUAAAGAGCAUCAAGUGUUGAUGGUGAAUAAGACCACUAGUUUCAAGAGAAACGGCAAAGGAAAGAAGGGUAAUUCAAAGAAGAGCGGCAAGUAUGUUGCCGAUCUGAUGAAGAAACCCAAAGCUGGACCUAAGCCUGAAACGGAGUGCUAUUAUUGCAAGGGUAUGGGUCACUGGAAGCGCAACUGCCCCAAGUAUCUGGCUGAUAAGAAGGCGGCCAAAGAAAAAUCAGGUAUAUUUGAUAUACAUGUUAUCGAUGUGUACUUAACCGGCUCUCGUAGUAGUGCCUGGGUAUUCGAUACCGGUUCUGUUGCUCAUAUUUGCAACUCGAAACAGGAACUGCGGAAUAGACGAAGGCUGGCGAAAGAUGAAGUGACGAUGCGCGUAGGAAAUGGUUCCAAGGUUGAUGCAAUCGCCGUCGGCACAGUUUCACUUCAGUUACCAUCAGGAUUAGUUAUAAACUUAAAUAAAUGUUAUUUAGUGCCUGCGUUAAGCAUGAACAUUAUAUCUGGAUCUUGUUUAUUGCGAGACGGUUACUCGUUUAAGUCAGAGAAUAAUGGUUGUUCUAUUUCUAUGAGUAAUAUCUUUUAUGGUCAUGCACCCAAUGUGAGAGGAUUGUUCAUAUUGAAUCUUGAUAGUGAUAAUACACAUGGAGUCACUUGACUUUCAUUCACUUGACACGUGNNNNNNNNNNNNNNNNNNNNNNNNNNNNNNNNNNNNNNNNNNNNNNNNNNNNNNNNNNNNNNNNNNNNNNNNNNNNNNNNNNNNNNNNNNNNNNNNNNNNNNNNNNNNNNNNNNNNNNNNNNNNNNNNNNNNNNNNNNNNNNNNNNNNNNNNNNNNNNNNNNNNNNNNNNNNNNNNNNNNNNNNNNNNNNNNNNNNNNNNNNNNNNNNNNNNNNNNNNNNNNNNNNNNNNNNNNNNNNNNNNNNNNNNNNNNNNNNNNNNNNNNNNNNNNNNNNNNNNCGGAUAUCGUUAUUUUCUCACCUUCACUGACGAUUUGAGUAGAUAUGGUUAUGUCUACUUGAUGAAGCACAUGUCUGAAACAUUUGAAAAGUUCAAACAAUUUCAGAGUGAAGUCGAAAAUCAUCGUAACAAGAAGAUCAAGUUCCUACGGUCUGAUCGUGGGGGUGAAUAUCUGAGUUUCGAGUUUGGUGCUCACUUAAGACAAUGUGGAAUUGUUUCACAGUUGACACCGCCUGGAACACCACAGUGUAAUGGUGUGUCCGAACGUCGUAAUCGUACUUUAUUAGAGAUGGUGCGACCUAUGAUGUCUCUUACCGAUUUGUCGUUAUCGUUUUGGGGUUAUGCAUUAGAAACAUCUGCAUUCACUUUAAAUAGGGCACCAUCAAAAUCCGUUGAGACGACACCAUACGAACUGUGGUAUGGCAAAAGACCAAAGUUGUCGUUUCUUCAAGUUUGGGGAUGUGAUGCUUAUGUCAAAAAGCUGGAACCCAAAGCGGAAAAGUGUGUCUUCAUAGGUUACCUAAAAGAGACAGUUGGGUAUACCUUCUAUCUCAAAUCCGAGGGCAAAGUGUUCGUUGCUAAGAACGGAGCUUUUCUCGAGAAGGAGUUUCUCUCGAGAGAAUUGAGUGGGAGGAAGAUAGAACUUGAUGAGGUUGUCGAACCUCUCAUCCCUCUGGAUGGUGGCGCAAGGCAAGGGGAAACCCCUGUCAUUGUGACGCCGGUUGAGGAGGAAGUUAAUGAUGAUGAUCAUGAAACUCCGGAUCAAGUUCCUGUCGAACCUCGCAGGUCGAUGAGACCGCGUACUACUCCAGAGUGGUACGGUAAUCCCGUCUUAUCAAUUAUGUUGUUGGACAACAAUGAGCCUGCGAAUUAUGAAGAAGCAAUGGUGGGCCCGGAUUCCAACAAAUGGCUGGAGGCCAUGAAGUCCGAGAUAGGAUCUAUGUAUGAAACAAAGUGUGGACUUUGGAAGUACUACCUGAAGGCCGCAAGGCUAUUCAGAACAAAUGGAUCUUUAAGAAGAAGACGGACGCUGACGGUAAUGUGACCGUUUAUAAAGCUCGACUUGUGGCAAAGGGUUUUCCACAAGUUCAAGGAAUUGACUACGAUGAGACAUUAUCACCGGUAGCAAUGCUUAAGUCCGUCCGAAUCAUGUUAGCAAUAGCUGCAUUUUUCGAUUAUGAAAUCUAGCAGAUGGAUGUCAAAAUGGCGUUCCUUAACGGUUUCCUUAAGGAAGAGUUGUAUAUGAUGCAACCCGAAGGUUUUGUCGAUCCUAAGAAUGCUAACAAGGUGUGCAAGCUCCAGCGAUCCAUUUAUGGACUGGUGCAAGCAUCUCGGAGUUGGAAUAAACGUUUUGAUGAGGUGAUCAAAUCAUUUGGGUUUAUACAAGUGGUUGGAGAAUCUUGUAUUUACAAGAAAGUGAGUGGGAGCUCUGUGGCGUUUCUAAUAUUAUAUGUGGAUGACAUAUUACUGAUUGGAAACAACAUAGAGUUUUUGGAGAGCAUAAAGGAUUACUUGAAUAAAAGUUUCUCUAUGAAGGACCUAGGAGAAGCUGCUUACAUUCUAGGCAUUAAGAUCUAUAGGGAUAGAUCGAAACGCCUGAUAGGACUUUCAAAAAGCACAUACCUUGAUAAAGUUUUGAAGAAGUUCAAAAUGGAUCAGUCCAAGAAAGGGUUCUUGCCAGUAUUACAAGGUAUAAAAUUGAGUAAGACUCAGUGCCCAGCAACUGAGGAAGAUAGAAAGACAAUGAGUUCCAUCCCCUAUGCUUCAGCAAUAGGUUCUAUCAUGUAUGCAAUGUUGUGCACUAGAUCGGACGUUAGCCUGGCCAUAAGUAUGGCAGGCAGGUUCCAGAGUAAUCCAGGAGUGGAUCACUGGACGGCGGUCAAGAAUAUCCUAAAGUACCUGAAAAGGACUAAGGAGAUGUUUCUCGUAUAUGGAGGUGACGAAGAGCUCGCCGUAAAAGGUUACGUCGAUGCAAGCUUUGACACAAAUCUGGACGACUCUAAGUCACAGACUAGAUACAUAUUUAUUCUUAAUGGGGGUGCGGUAAGCUGGUGCAGUUCCAAGCAAAGCGUCGUAGCUGAUUCUACAUGUGAAGCGGAGUACAUGGCUGCCUCAGAGGCAGCUAAGGAGGGUGUCUGGAUGAAGUAGUUCAUGACGGAUCUUGGAGUGGUGCGUGAUACGUCUCCGUCGUAUCUACUUUUCUGAACUCUUUUGCCCUUGUUUUGGACUCUAAUUUGCAUGAUUUGAAUGGAACUAACCUGGACUGACGCUGUUUUCAGCAGAAUUGUCAUGGUGUUGUUUUUGUGCAAAAAUGAAAGUUCUCGGAACAUCCUGAAAAUUUACCGGGAAUGUACCGGGAGUGACGAAUGGGUUCCGGAUGUUCACCGGGGGGUCAGCCCACCCGGGGGAAGCCCAUAGGCCUUAGGGGUGCCGCACCAGCCCUUAGUGGGCUGGUGGGACAGCCCAAGAGGCCCUAUGCGCAGGAAUCAAAGAAAAAAAGGGGAAGUGGGAAAGUGGAGAAGGACUCCACCUUCCAAUCCUAGUUGGACUAGGAUUGGAAGGGGAGGACUCCCCCCUUGCUUCGGCCGACCCCUUGGGGCUCUCUUGAGCCUCAAGGCAGGUCCCUCCCCCUCCCUCCUAUAUAUACUGAGGUAUUAGGGCUGAUUUGAGAUAACUUUGCCACGGCAGCCCGACCACAUACCUCCACGGUUUUUCCUCUAGAUCGUAUUUCCGCGGAGCUCGGGCGGAGCCCUGCUGAGAUAGAUCACCACCAACCUGCGGAGCACCGUCACGCUGCCGGAGAACUCAUCUACCUCUCCGUCUCUCUUGCUGGGUCAAGAAGGCCGAGAUCAUCGUCGAACUUUACGUGUGCUGAACGCGGAGGUGCCGUCCAUUCGGCACUAGAUCGGAGCGGAUCGUGGGACGGAUCGUGGGACGGUUCACGGUGCGGAUCGAGGGACGUGAGGACGUUCCACUACAUCAACCGCGUUUCUUAACGCUUCCUGUUGUGCGAUCUACAAGUGUACAUAGAUCGGAAAUCCCCUCUCGUAGAUGGACAUCACCAUGAUAGGUCUUCGUGCGCGUAGGAAAUUUUUUGUUUCCCAUGCGACGUUCCCCAACACUAUCUUAUUUCGCAACUGAGACUUUCUAAGAAGUUUCCAACUAUAGUUUUACAAGUAAUAUGUAAUAGCUUCAUUAACAUUUUUUUGUAGUAACUUAGUUUUUUUUGGUAGCUUAGUUCUUUUUUGUAGUAACUUAAUUACGAAAAUAAUUUGCUACCCAUGGUGGUAGCUACACACGGAACAAAUUUGUAUCUCCAAUUAUUUUGGUAAAUUAUUUUGUACUAUGAAAACUAAUUUGAUAAUGAAAAUAUCAUGAUUUCGGAUCAGUCGAGCAAGCAAACAAGCAAUUAUGCCAAAAAGGCAAGCAAAAAGACCGAAAGAAGUGAGAAACAUCAUUUCUACACAACCAAAAGUCACUUGUGUCAAAAACGUAAAUAAAAAGACAAAAUUAAGCGGGAAAAGGUCAUUUCUAUACAACAAACAUGUACUUUUGCCAAUGCGAUGGAAACCCAACACCGCACAUAUUUAAAAAGGCACUUAUGCCAGAGGGUGUAUAGCCUCUCAACUUAAUUAAACCAAAUUGCUUGUUUUUAAUUUGAUGCUACAACAUGGCCGACUCUAGCAUCUGGAUAGACUCCUCUGACCACUGGUUGGAGUAUGCCGAAGAUAAAGGCGACGUAAGCACCAACCAGGUAAUUACAUUACAGUUAUAAAAACAUGUGUGGCAUUGCAAACAACCAUAUAUCUAACCAUUAAUUAAUUGUUGAUGAUUUGAAACCCUUGUCAGACAUAUGUACCAGCUGGUCUGCCUUCUCCGGCAUCCGUUGUGCGGCAGACACGUGACGUGGACGUGCUCAAUCACGAGCUGAUCAUGUCACGUCAGUCUAGUAUCAAGGCCCUGUAGGAGUUAAAUGACUCCCUAAAGAAGGAGAAGGACACGAUUAUUGAUGACAAUGCAAUUGUCUACCACAAGAUUUUAAAUUUCAAACGUUAGGUUGAUUCGCUGAACCUUGAGAUAAGCAAGCUCAAAAAAGAAAUAGAAGUCCUGAAGAAGGAGAAGACUCAACUCAAGACGGAGAAAACCCAUUACCUCAUCGAGGGGCAGAUGCACAGUGCACAGGAAUAAGCUCUGUGAGCUUAAGUUAUUCCUUAGAGGUAACUAGGUAGUGUCGAGAGGGGCAGGUAGAUACGUGUGGAGUUGCUACUUCUCUUUUGUGAAUUUGGUAUACUAUGUUUAUUUUAUGAAGCUGGUACUAUCUUUUGUGAAUUGCUGAUAGGUUUAGUUUGUGAAGCUGGUAGGAUCCUUUGUGAAUUGCUGACAUGUUUAGUUUGUGAAGCAGGCGUAUUUUUUUGUUAUCUAAAUAUGACAUUUCUGUCGUGCAACCCUGUACAACGCCAUAUGUGAUGAGGACAUCAACACCAUUGUUACACCCACAACCCCAGUUGGUAUACAUAAUGGACCAGUUACUAGAGCUCGUGCACGCCAAUUGAAUUACCAGGUACUUUCGUUUCUUGGGAAUACUUCUAAUGUUCAUGAACAUAUGAUGCUGCCUAAGUUAGAUACUUUUGUUAUGCUCAUGAAUGAAGGACCUAGCAUGGACAAGAUGGAUAUCCGUUGGAGCGGGAUCAAGCAUGGAGAAGAAGGUGCACGCGCGCGAGAGAACAAUGGAGCUUCCACUGGUGAUUUUCGCACUCUAAAGCCUCCAUAAGGAGAGCAUGAAGGCUUUGGACGAAAUAUUCAAGACGCCACUUUAUAAAUUUCGUCCAUAGGCUAUUUUAGGUGUUGCGCGACCUUAUUUUUGGGCCAGGCCCAUGUAAUUUCAAAAUACCAUAAUAUAGGCUAUUUUUAGAGUCUGUAUGUGUGGGGAAACCGAGUUUAGGGCUGUUUUCGGACCCCUCCUCUAAGGGUCACGCAAUUGCCUCUCUAUUCCCUCAUAUAUACAGCCCUUAGGGCACCGUUUAGACUUGGAUUUUGUUUAGAUUACAAGUUCGCCAUGGCUGCAACUUCGCGUUCUUCGUUUGUGUUCUACGACUAGACAAAGGCGUUACAGAACCCCACCUUCAUCAAUAAAGCUUUCCUCUUAUAUUCGCAAUAUCUUGAUUGCAUCUCGGUUUCUUGCUUGUUCUUCGUUUGCGUGCAGGAAACAGACCUUCGUGGUCAGGUUGAUCGUGCUCCGGCGUGGUCAAUAACCUCUCGGAGUUGGUUUAGCGAUUGCUAAGGCACGACGUCCUCACACGUUCGUAGUCGGAUCGUCAAAGUCUACUCCACCAAAACGAUUCCCACGAUCUCAUGAAAGACAGGGACAACUUCGCCUCUAUCAAUAUGUUUUAAAAUACUGUUGACAUCGUCUCCAAUGCCGUCAUUAAAUUCUAACGGUGACGCCAUAUUGAUGGCGUAGGGUGUCUACCCGAGCAAGGACAUUUUUGCCAUACCAUAGAUAGGCUUUUCUGCACUAAUGAUGUGCAUUUGGCACCUCACGAUGAGUUUUGUUGGUGCUCCUCCGGCCCCAGCAACUCUGAACCUGUGUUUUCCAAUAUGACUUGUUGAAUCCUCUGCCGGCGUGGCUCCGACCCCGGCGAUCCAGUGCUUGCACUCCUGCCAGCUCACUCGGCUUGUUGGUGUACUAACGACUAUGGCCCCGACAACUUGGAUAUGUGUUCCUCCAGUUCCUAGCUCGCUGGCAUCACCGAAUGGCGUGGCUUCCCCCUGCGUCUUCUCCUCGACCAUGUACACCUCCACGCCUUGCCUGGUGUUAGUCCCAAAGCUCGUAUGUCUGGGGCGCCCAGGGCCACCCUCCGGUGGCAGGUCUAGCCCCACCUUGGCUCUUCCCCUCAUAGCUUUCAACCAGGGUGAAAUCUUUGCCUUGCUUGUCGGUGCUGGCAGAGGCGACACCCGUGGGUGUCGUUUUGCCUACUUGGAGGCGGUGUCAUGGUCUCCAUAUACACCCCUCUUCGAGCUCAGGGAAAACCUAGGUCUGGCUCUCCGGUGCUGGCUGGUAUCGUUUUGUCUACUCGAAGUUGUUGUCAUGGCCUCCAUAUACGCCCCUUUUCGAGCUCAGGGGAAACCCUAGGUCCGGUUCUCUAGAUCAGAUCAUGAAGGAUCUAUCUUGCUAGCUCCCGACGCCCAAUUAUUGGCUUUGGCGGUGUUUGACAUCAUGCCGGUUUGGCCCGCCCCUCUAGAUCAGGGCUUCGUGGGUCUAGCUGUGUUGUCUCCCUGUUUGGGCCGAGCAUCCCUUAUCCCUCUAUUUUAGGCACCUUAUUCACCGUCUUUUUGCGUUCAUGUCAUGUGUUGUAUCCUUCUUUGCACUCAUUCGUUCCCUCAAUGAAAGAUAGGCAACCUCUGCAUAUUCGAGAAAAGAAAGUCUCAUUUCUCUCUGUACUCAUCUCAACUCUCUUGGUGACGGCAAGAUUCCAAGAAGCAAAGCACACACGUGUCUCAACAGGUGUAGUGCCCCAUCAGAAAGACACUGCAGAGCAGCGUGCCACGCGGGCCAGAAGCAACAGAGGCACGGCUGGCUGGCUGCGCGCUCGCUGUGUGCGGCGUGGCGCAGACUGCGGAGAGAGACCGGCCGAGAUAGGCUCAUGCGGACGGCGCCUACUGCCAGACGGCGGGCGCACCAACUUUCUUCGUCGUGGCCCGGUCGGUCGGGGCUCCCGUGCCUCAUGGCUCAUGCACGCGCGCUUGCUUGCUUGCACACCUGCCCAUGGAUCACGCGCCCAACCCAAGGCCGCAACACACGCACAGGUAACAACUACUCCUCGCUCCCUCCAACACCAGCCAUUGCCAUUGCCAUCGCCGAUUAGUUGACGGACGCCGGCGGCGUUCACGGCGAGCAAGCCCGCCGGCCAGGGCGUCGCGCCGUCCAGAUCAUAGCUCAAUGGUACGUCACGUCAGGCCCUGCACGCUCUUCUGCCCGUGCCUUCCUUCGACGCGUGCCCAGUUCAGCGGCUUCAAAAAUUCUUGACAUGCUCCGUGCGCGCUGCAAUGCAGUCCCUGCUGCCGCUGUUCCUCAGGCCGGCGGCGCGCUUCUUGGGGCCGUUCCUGGCGGGCCGGGCGGCGGAGGCGGCGGCCACGGUGCUGCACCGCGCCGGCCUGCUCCCCAGGGACCGGGCGCUGCGGCGGCUCGUCAGGGACGACCUGCUCCGCGGCGGCGCCGAGGACUACAUCGCGCGUCUCGUCGUCGGCGUGGUGAGCUGCCUCUGCUAGGUCGCCAUCACAAGGUGGUUCCGGUCAUUUAGGACUGAGGUGAAAUCCAGUCAUUUAGCCGAAUUGAGAACCAGAAAUUCCGAAUAUCGAGAAUGUACCCAUGAUCGGCAUUUCAAAAGCAUGAUGCAAACUCAUGAAUGUUUGGAGAAAUAAGGGCGAAGAAAAUGCGUGUGGCUUCAUGGUCAAAAAUUUACACAUGUAUCAAAGUUUCCUGAAGUACUGGUACAUGACGAAGCAACGAAAAAACUCUGGGACCGCCGAACUGCAAUCUGCAGUGUAUCUGUGUAUAUGAACCAAAGCCGAUAUGACAUCGGUUGAACGAAAGAACAAAGCCGAAAUCCUAUCACCUGUAUACCCUGUUAAUUCCCUGUACCAAUGCCCUAUCUAGACAAGCACCACCAGCAGAAAAACCUCAAGCUGGAAGAGUAUACCAAUGUCGGAAAAAAUAUGAAAAAAAAGGAAAACACAUGCACAUAUCAUCUCUUCAGUCUCAGAAUUCAGAAAGGUUGCCAGCUCUGACUCUCGCAACGACGAAACUGUCAGAAAGCUCGGAUUCUGAAAGUAUACACUGGCCCUCCCCCUCAAGCAUUCCUCAGGGCCAUGACCCGGGCGGCCAAUUCUUCAAAGUCCGGCAUCUUCGGGUGCACGCGUACGCUCCCAGGACAGUUUGACCGCAGUGAGGUGGACCGAGCAGGAACCUUGGCAGCUUCACCUGGGCUAAUGGACUCCGGCGGUAGCGAGACUGCUCUUCCUGGAGUGUGUAAAGAACCGUUUUGCUGGCAUUGUGUUUGGGCUCCUUGACAGUUAGCAGUUCUGCUGGUUUCUACUGUUGUUUUGGUUUCAUCUGUACCUAAACCUUUCUUGCUAUAAUGCAUCAGAAGUUUGUCCAUCAUCCUCUCCUCCUCAUCAGGAUCUCCGCCGUGCACAUCAGUGUUCCUGCUAUUGAGUCGAUGGUGACUAUUUGCAGCCUGAGGCGACAGAUCACCAAAGUCAAUAGCAGUCUCAUCUUCCCCUGCUUUAGGCUGCUGCAUGGAUCCACCGUAGUCAUCAUCAUACUGAACUCCGUUUCUCAUGCCUGAGGGACUUGGUCGACCACUAGGAGUUCUCUCAACAUUCCUGCCAUUACCAACACCAUUGCCCUUCCGGUCAUAGCCCUCGUUAGCGCCCUUGUGCUUGCUUGGUUGUGUUCUGUGAAUGUUGGCCUUUCGAAUUGUGACCUUUUCAUCGUUAGGUGUCUCAUCAUAAGAAGGUGCUGCUGGCCUUCUUCUAACAGAAACAGGCCGAAGCACGUCUUUGUCAGCCAAACGACCUGUCCUUUCAGUCAUAUUGCAGUUGCUGUCAAUUGGUUUUGCAGGAUCAUCGUUCACAUGCUGGAUGCCAAGUUUAGGUUUGACAUAAGGAGGCUGCACAUCAGCCACCCUCUGUGGUGCUCGCUGUCCAUUUUGCACCGUGUGUCCGAGAUCUUCCAAGUGCUGUGGUCUGCCACGCAAGCAACUGUUGCCCUCUUCUUUUUCAUCACAAUUCCUUCCCUUUGCUCCAUUCGGAUUGGAAUUUGGAGUGGGCCUGUUUAUAGUUUUACCACUUGAAGGAUUCGGUGAAGUAGGUCCUUGAUUCUGCAGGCCAAGAGCUUUGCACCCUAAGUUUGCAUGUCUUCUCGUAUAAUCAGGACGGCCAGGUAUGGGUGAUCGGUGGUGAUAGCCAAGCCCCCUGUUAUUCUCUUUUUCGACACCAUGUUCUUUCUUUGUUUCUUUUGGCUUCACAAUUGGUGGAAUUAUUAUGUUGCUUUCUGUCUCAGGAAAUUUCACCGAACCAGAUCCUUGUUUCGGUAGGCCAUUAAUAUCUAGCUCCACAGCUUCCAUCAGCUCCUUCUCGGAAGGGCGGACAUCUUUUUUCUUCAGUUUCUGAGCUCGCUUUUGAGCCUCCUCUCUUUCCUUUUGCAGAGGAGAUACUGAUUUCUCCAAAUGUUCCUUACCAUCAGCUUUGUCAGCAUGCCGCCUUCUGGUAUUAUCAUCUUUUGGAGUGUUCUCUCUUUUUAAGUCCAAAGGAGAAACUGAUUUCUCCAAUUGUUCCUUACCAUGAGAUUUAUCAGAAUUCUUCCUUCCAGUACUGUCAUUUAACUGACAAUCAUCCUUCUGGUUGAUGGGCAAAGGCACUGCCAGUUCACCCUUUUCCAUUGAAUCCUUUUCGAGAAGAUCCUGAAAUAGAAAAUCCAAGAUGCCAAGUUAAUGACACAUGUCAUUGUUCGAGUAGUAAAUUCAUUUACGCAAGUUCAUGUAGACAUACAUCUUCAGACUCCCGUGCAGCCCAUAACUUGAUUUCCAACGCCCUCAUGUCAAAACCAACCGAGGAUUCUUCGGCAAUACUUUGCAUUACUUGAAACUUUUCCUCAUCUGUAAAUAAUUCAGACUCAAGUUUCCGGAUAAACUGCAGGUACAAGAAACAUUAAUGAGGUUAAACAGAACCCUAUGAAGCGAUUUGAUGACAAUAAAUUAUUGGAGCAUCUCUCUCACCUCCAGGCUAACAAAAGGUUCAAGAGAACCACCAUAUCUUUCUGUGAAUAUAUGCCUUAAGUCGCACAGUUCAGGCAAGUCUGGGAACCGAGCAGUGGCAAAAAUUAGAGUUGACACGGCCUCCAUGGAUUCCUGGGGGCAAUCCCUGUUGAUGCAGAAAUUAACGAGUGUCAUGAUGAAUUGUACCAUGAAGAUAAUUAAACUGCCAGAGAGAAUGGUUAUAUUCAUUAACUGAAGCUCGAAGCAAAAAAAAGAAUGCUUGUGAUAACACUAAACUAGACCAUAAGAAUAAUGAAAGAGAUAUAUAUUUUGGAGUUAAAACUCUGUUCAUUCGUAAAAAGAAGAGUUAAAACUCUGUUGCCACACUGACUUUAUCCUACAGCAAUCACAGGCAUACUAAGGCCCUGUUUGGGACAGCUCUGCUCCAUCAAAAGCAGCUCUGUUCCACCAAAUCCACUUUGAAGCAGUUUCAUACAGAAGUUGUAGCUCUUUCAAAGAGAAUGUUUGGCUUUUAUCCAGUUUCAGCUUCACGAAUGGAAAAUUUGGUGGAAAUGAUCUAUUUGAUUGGAUGAGAGGGGAGAAACGAAGAGGUAUCCACUUACGGGUGGCAGUGGUGGGUAAUUUUGCUCUAACUCCAGCUUCUACAAUUUUAUGGAGCACCUCCUAGAGAGCUUCAUAAAAAACAGGAAGUUGGACCCCAGAUUCUAGUUUUUUUGUGGAGCUGUCUAUCAUGAAGCUAUCCCGUUUGGCUUAUGUUUUCUAGAGCGGAGCUGAAUUUUCUGAAGUAGAGCAGUCCCAAGCAGGCCCUAAUAAUGGUCAAUUGGCCUUUCCCGCAAAUAAAUGGUUAAUCGGCCUUUACUAUUUUAUAUUCACCAACUGAAGAUCCAAACAGAAAGGUUUUUGUUUAGAGUAAACUAGACCAUCAGCUGGAUGUGUGCUUCACUUGAUGCUGAGGCUGAGAGGUAAUCUUCCAUCAUCCAAGAAAAACUAUCCCAGCAGAAGAAUCCUAUACCGUCGAUGCUACAGUCCUGCUAAAUCGAUUCCUUAAUAAAAUGCCACACAGGGGUCCCACUAAGAGAGUUGGGAUGCAUAACUCUCUUGGCCAUUAACAAACUUUGCUUCCCGUUGACCACAGAAAUAGUGGGACAUCCUUUCCUACAGUUUUGACCCACAAAGCAACGCAUACAAAAUUAAGGGUGCAGAGUUGAGUUAACCAGAUAGAUAUACCUCUGUUUCUGCAGGCUGUUGAGUUGCUUGCCAAGGGUAUCGCAGUACUGCUCAAUCAUGUUGUAGCAAGAAGCAUGGUUCAUCUCCAUUAUGAGCGCAUCCAUCUGGAAGCAGAGACAGGAAACAAAGCUAGAAAUUCAGUCAUUACAUUCACAACUCUCCUCUAGUAAACUGACUAGAACUUGACCACCAGUCGGUAGAAGCUUUUGCCAACUUCUCCAGUUGAGAAAUGGGGGCCAGAGCGCAAAAAACAUUCUCUAAUCCUCCUUCAACCAGGACCAUUCGUACCAGUCCUGAGCAAUGUACUUGAGCAGUGAAAUGCUGCGCAGGAGAGAAGUACCGAGAGAAGACAUUAUCUUACCCGUCCGAAGGCAUGGAUGUCGAGGCCGUUGGCGAUGAGGUCGGCGACGUCCUUCUUGAGGAAGCCGAUCAUGGCCUGCUUCUUCCGCCGUAUGACGACCAGCCGCGUCCGGAUGCAUUUGAAGGCGUGCUUGCUGCAUCCAUCGUUCAGCAACCCAGCAGCCGGUUAGCCAAGUAAUCCAGCAUCACAGGAUAUGCUUACAUGCGACACCAACAGCGACGAAAUUAAUGCGGCCGGAUCGCCCGGAAAUGCAAGUGGAGAUGGAACCCGAACUCGACGCGACACGGGAUAUUUUUUUUUUCCUUGUAAAACAAAGCAGGUAAGAUAACUCGACCGGGGAAAACGCCCUCGAGAUGCGGACGAAGCUGGCCACGAAGUCACGAACCCCAACGAGUUCGGAAGCACGAAACGGAACAAAAUCCCGAACAUGACGCCGCGCAGCCCAGCCGAGGAACCCCGAGCAGCAGAGCAGCAUCUGGAGGCACCGGAUUGGACUCUAAAGGAAGGAGGAACCGCCGGUCUAACUAAGCGACCCCCGCCCCCGAGGACUCCGACGAGCUCGCCGGCCGGAACCCGACGAACCGAAGCGAAACUAGCCCGCAGCGAACAAGCAGCGAAUCUAUUCUCGUCUCGUACCAGCGGUUGUAGAACUUGGAGUUGAUGAGGCCGUCGAACAUCCUCCUCCGCCUCCCCUCUCGCCGGAGCCGCCUCUCUCCCUCCCUCCCUCCCUCCUCUUCGAGCAGCGGUUGGAGCUCGCGACGGCGGCGUCAAAGCGUCACGGGGUCGGCGGGGGAGGGGAGGGAGGCCACCGCGCGCGAGACGGCGAGAGGGGGGCGGCGGUUGGGGGAGGGGGAGGUGGAGGUGGAGGUGGUGGCGGUGGUGGGCUGCAACAGGAGAAGGGAACGAACGGAAACUCGGUGCAGAAAAGAAAAGGCUGUCUGUUGCGUCGCAGGCGUGUGUCAGCCUUGCGGGAGGGGGGAGGGGGAGGCGGCCAGGUGGCGGCCCGGGGUUCCCGUCCGUCGCGGGCCGCGCGAUCGGGAACCGACGGCGGGGAUCGGAUGCGAGGCGGAGGAUCGUAACUAACCUCGAGGGGGAUAAAGCUCGCUCCCAACAAACCGGGUUUUGAAAUUUGGGAGCCCCUGGCAGAGCAUUAUCGGCCCGUUGCAGAAAAUAUUAGUUCAUUUUUUUUACCCUAUCGAAUGUCGCUAUUUUUUUUCGUAUAUUUAGUUUCAGGUUAAAGCAUCAAGCAUAGCGAAGAAACAUGUAAAUGUGCGUUUUUAAUGGACGUUGUGUUCCGUUUCAUGAUAUUAACUGGUUUCGUAAUAAUUCUAUUAAUUUAGCUUGUUCUUUCUCUGCUUUGGUUAGAAUUCAUUAAUUCAGUACGAUUUUAAGACAAACAUUGCAUCGGCUCGUUGACGAGGCGGCACUUGUGUUGUACGUGUGCAUGCACGGGCUUGCUUUUUUGUAGUUGCAGAAACAGAAAGAAACGUUGCUUGGUGAUAUAACGUAUCCGCGAAGAAUGGCUAGAAAGUAUUAAUUUUGAAAUAGUCUAGGAAUUGCUUGCAAAAAAUGUCUAAAAAAUGAUGGUUACGCAUCUCAUUAAAGUUAAGUGAAGAGUUGUGGAGUUUUCAAAGAAAUAAAUAAAGGGUAUUCGCAAAAGAAAAGUGAAGGGUAAGGGGAGGGGGGAGGUUCGCAAAGUGCAUGUGUGUUAUGGUGUAUGUACAUGCUCUCAUCUUAUAUUGCCAAAAACAGACCAAAACAUUGUAUGGAGAUAUAAUGUUCCACACAGUAAAAAAAAUACUAAUUUUGGUAUUAACUAAAGAUAAUGAUUCCAUCCAGGGCUGCAAGUGAGUCGAGUUCUAGCGAGUUAGGUUAGGUUCAGCUCAACUUAUACUAAAAUUCGAGCGAGCUCGGUCCGAGUGAAGCUUUAGGUUGAGCUAUAGAAAGUGUCUCGUGCUCAUUUUGUAACGAUCUCGAGUCAAUCUCAAGCUAGUGUCGAGCUAAAUAACAUGAUUUUUUUAUAAUCUAACGCAUAUUUUUCAGACAAAGUAGGCCACAACACAAGAAACCUUUAUAUAAUUCAACUUAUUCUUUGUCAACUUGAAGACUAGUAUUUAAUAGUAAGAGAUCGUAUAUGAACCAGGAAGAGGAAAACUAAGGUGGGUGUGCUCUCAAACUUUUGUUUAAAUAACAUGAUAUUUAACACAUGGCUCAACACAUACCAUAGGGCCAAAUUUUCUCGGUAUUUAAUUAAGCUUCCAUGUUGGGUACUGGUAGGUGAAGUAAAGAAAAAUGGUACACAACAUACAUGGUAAUAUUUUUUUGACUAUCUAUAAGGUAGUAAAUUAUCCAAUUUCCUUUUAACAUAUAUCAAAAUUAUGUACUACAAUUAUAUGAUAUCGAGCUAUUAAGCAAAAUCAGGUGAGCUAGUGUUAGUUCAAGAUCACUUCGUUCUUCGAUCGAGCUACAUCAAAUGUUCAUACUUAACUCAUUUCUUUCCGAGUCAAUCUUAAGUCGAGACAAAAUACGAGUCAAUCUUGAACGGUUCACAAGCCUAGACCUUUUCUUGAAGUCCUAAUUGCAUCCACAUCUCGAGGCCUUGUUUGGUUAGAGGCUAAACCACAUGUAUUGGAAGGGAUCACGGCCCGAUCCACGGGGGUCAUCCAGGCAGGUAAUAAAUUAACAUGGAUCAUAAUUUAACCGUUUGGUUUGGACCAAGGCAUGGAAAAUCCAAGCCCAACCCACGGCUGUCCACCCCGUUCCACAGGGGCCAAAAGAAACGUCUAGCCCUCGUGGAACAGAUCCACGAUGACAAACGGAGUGGUGAUUGGCGACAUAGCAAACCCUAUCGAGGAGAGCAGCGGCGACGCAAGAAACUGAGCCGAGCGGAGCCGCCUCCGACGACGAUGGCCGUCUCUUCUUCUCUUCCCUUAAGCAUCUACCUCUUUCUCCUUCCCUUCUCUACUCCUUUUCCUCCUCCUCUGAUCAUUCCCUUCCACUUAACAUAUCAGAACCUACAGCCGGUGCAGCAAACCUAAAGCAUACAUCACAUGCACACAUUUUAAAAGCCGUCAUCAUCAUUGAACCGCUGACCCAUUUUCAGGAAAGAGAUCCGCAUCAUCCUUGCUAGUCCGGCCAUCCAUCAAGGUCCCCACAAUGGCGCCACCUCCCCGCAUGCAAGCUGCUAAGCACGUCACGGUCGCCACUGAUACACUGCAGCACCAUGCUGCCAACUACCAUCACUCGACGCAGCUUGAAGUCUAUGAAAGAUUUGUCGUGCAUAACACUUGUCGAACAUGCAUGACACAUCCUAACACCUGUCGCCCAGGAAUGACUCGACAUCUUCACCGAAGCUUCGUGCAAGACAAAGCCGCUCCACCAGCCUUUGUCGCCCAGUGCUACUCCAUAAACGAUACUCCCAAGAGAGAAAUGACACCGCAGUGCCGCCAUCGUCCGAUCUAGAAGACAAGAUCCGAGGGUUUCCCCAUGAGCAGCACGAGUGGGUCGACAAUAAUUACACGAUGAUGCCUUCAUCAAGGUAACGGCGCAGAACGCCGCCAUCGCCCGUCGUCAGCUCGGUUUUCACCAGCAACUAUGUCUCCCUCACUCGUAGUCGGUACUAGAUGACGGAUCUCGAGAUCCAACCAACCAGCCUUCAGGCCGACCACCUCCGAUAAAGGAGAUCAUCGCCACCACCAAGCCCAGGGUCGCCACCCCAGGCGUCCACGUGACGACGAGGGAGAACCGAUCUGAGGUGCAAAAAUCCAGAUCCAUCGCCGCCAGCCUCCAUUACCGGCCGCAUGCUGCCCCCGCAACUGUGGUGGCCCAACCAUCAUUGAAAUCCUAUCGAGACACCGCCUAUCGCGCCAACUCCGCCUCCACGCUGGGUGCCCAGGGUCGUCAUUGUGUAUCGGCCAGAAAUUCCCUCGUGGAGAGAGAAGGAGAGCCCGUCGUCUGCAUGGCGAGCUUUCCUCGCCGACCACCUAUGGCUGCGACGGGGAAACAUGGAAGAAGGAAAGGUCGGGGUGGCCGCUCCUAGGGUUUGCCUGAGCUGCCCCGUGGAGACAACACGAGUGAUGCGUGUUGAGUUAGAGGCGAAGGCGGUGUGUGGUCAAUUAAUUUUUUAUUCUCCAAUAAAAUAUUUUCUAAAUAAUGGAAACAUCAACUUAAUAAUAACAAUCUCUACCUAAUAAUAAAGCACGGACUUUUUCUGAUCGUCCGUCACGCCAUUUUGCAAAUGAGUCCCUUCGUUUUUUAUACAUUAACCCGCAAUGCAUGUUUAAGUCACAAUUGAACCGUUUGUCCGCAGUUUCUCAAAAAAUGCCCUGAUAUUUUAGAUAAGCAACCCGUCAUCCAUAUUUAAGUCAGCCAAACCUUUUUUUUUUUCGUUUUAGUAGAAAACCCCUUAACGUUUCAGUUAAUCAAUCCGUAUUUUAUGUAAAAUAAAAUUAUUCAUAUCUUUUAAACUGUAAGUCCGAUUUUAACAUGUUAUAUAUGAAUUUUUAUUAGAAAAUAUGUAGAAUCUAAAUAUGAUAUUAUUUUUAGCUUUUAAAUAUUUUUAAAACAUUGUUUUUGUUACAAACUUAAUCUAUAUAUAGUGCACGGUCCGUUUCUUUUUCAUACCAUCGACGGUCCAAAUUGNNNNNNNNNNNNNNNNNNNNNNNNNNNNNNNNNNNNNNNNNNNNNNNNNNNNNNNNNNNNNNNNNNNNNNNNNNNNNNNNNNNNNNNNNNNNNNNNNNNNNNNNNNNNNNNNNNNNNNNNNNNNNNNNNNNNNNNNNNNNNNNNNNNNNNNNNNNNNNNNNNNNNNNNNNNNNNNNNNNNNNNNNNNNNNNNNNNNNNNNNNNNNNNNNNNNNNNNNNNNNNNNNNNNNNNNNNNNNNNNNNNNNNNNNNNNNNNNNNNNNNNNNNNNNNNNNNNNNNNNNNNNNNNNNNNNNNNNNNNNNNNNNAAACCAGAUUGAGGGGAAAAACAUCGAGAACCAUGCAUACACACCUAUAAAAUAUCUCGUGGGAAAAAACAACAUAUUUCUCAUCUUAUUUCGAGCGAGUGUGGGUGCACGCGCACGUGAAAUAGAGAAAGACCUUAUGACUGACCACAUUCAAACGCGUCUUCCUUGUGUGAGAACUAAUAACAUUGUCGGAAAUACAAAUGUGAUGUCGUGUGAAACUAAAAGACACAGGCCUAUUAAGGCCUUAAUUAAGUCAUGAUUAUUGGAUUAAGAGCGUAUGUUUUUUUCUCUGUCGUUGCAAUGCAUGAGCUCUUUUACUAGUAACAAUAAUAAUAAUAAUAUAACAACAACAAUGUAGCUAUAAAAAAUAUUUAUUGUGGGUGUGAAAUUUCACCAAAGUAGACAUGUCCUCAGCAUUAUGCCUUCCCUGGGGCACCUGUCAGUUCUAACAGUUCUUCACAAAUAAGUGUAGGUCAACUCCCUGCCAAAAAAGUAGUGUAGGUCAACUCACCGACAUUCCAACAUGUUUCCUCUACACAACAGAAUGUCUGUUCCAGGCAUCACUUUAAAAAAAUCACGCAAAAAAAAAACCUUAAAAUUGUUUUGACUUCCGGUGUUUUUUUGUGUGUGUGUCUCUCUGUGUGUGUGGGGGGGGGGGGGUUUGUUUUGACUUCCGGUGUUUUUUUUUUUUUGUGUGUGUGUGUGUGGUGCGCUUGAUAGGGGCUUGCGCGCGGGAUAACGGAGUGGUUAGCACGAGUGGCAUCACGAGGCGGAGAUGAACGCGUUGCCAGGGCGUUGUUUCGUUUGGUUCAUCACUGGACAUGUGCUGCGUGUCCAUUUGGGUGAUGAAAAUGAAGGCCCGACCGGCGCCGGCGCCAUGAGACGGAAAGCUCACGGACAGCUCGCGUUCCUCCCUCCCCCUCUCUCUCUCUCUCUGUCCCUGGCCUGCCUGUCCCCGACAUUUGGCACCGACGCGGCGUGAGGGAAUUGUUGUUUUUUCACUCUGUUCUCGUGCACUGCGUGUGUGUACGUACGCAUGUGUCCGCAACCGAUUUGGACUUGGGUGGUAGUACUGGUACUGGUACGUGCUUUAGCCGUUGACGAAUGGCAAGCCAGAGCAAGAGCAAGAGCUUGCCCCCACAAACCGCCGUCGACCAAGUAGCCGAGCAAGAAACCUAUACGUUUGCCGGCUGAAAAGAUGAUGAUGACCAGCCAGGCAGGAGCUGGGCAUGGGCAUUGAUCAAGCAGCGACGAUGAUGAUGAUGAUGGUGAUGCCGCGACGGUGGCGCGUGCGAUGCGGGGCUGAAAAGAUGAUGGAAAAGUCGAAAUCAUGGCUGCGGCCUGCGUGCUGUGUUCAUUCAUUCAUCCCUGUGCGGCGCAUUGCGAUUCUGUCGCCAAUUGGCACCGGACGCCUUGCGGUUUGCACCCCCUCCCGUUUGCCGGCUUGGAUGUCUAGCCCGGUGUGUGCCGUCCUUGACAUGUUGCCAUGACAUGCGUAGAUUAUUACUCCCUCCAUUUUUUAAAUAUAAACCUUUUUAAGGAUUUUAUUAGAAAACUAUAUACGAAACAAAAUGAAUGAAUCUAUAUUUUAAAAUAUAUUUAUGUACAUUCAUAUGUAGUCUUCUAGUAAAACUUUUACAAAGACUCAUAUUCAAGAAUGAAGGAAGUAUUUUUCACAUGCGCAUGAUUGAUCUGACCAUACUCCAUAUUCUGUAGCAUCAAGCAAUUGAGAAGAAAAACUAGCAAAAAAAAAAAACUAAUUUGUGAACAAUCGUUGGUGUUGUUUGGUUUAAAACUUCAAGCUUGAACCAAUGAACUGGAAAACGCGAUUUGUUUUGGCUGAAAUAUGUAUGAGCACACAAGAGGAAACCUCUGUUUUAAUUUAUUUAUUUUUUACUUUUAUUCAUUGGUGUUGUCGAGCGUUGUCUAUGAUUUUGGUCCGAAGUGAGGGUCUAAUUUGGCAAAUACGGAAUUUCUGAAGCAAAAGAGAGAAAAAUAUCGAAUAUUCAGGCCAGAGUGUUGGCUCAGAUGAGCCUGGUGAACAGUACCGCAUUUAAAAAUAGAAAAUAAGUUUGAAAAAAUCCAUAACAUUUUUGUGAUGCAAGAUGUUUCUGUGCGUGAACUCCGUGCAAAUUUUUAUGAAGUUUGAAUAUUCGAGUAGAUCGUGAAAAAAGAGAGAAAAUCAGGCGAGAACAAUGCGAUUCUUAAAAGUUUCUCAGACAUCCAAAAUUUGUCUUUUUUGCCACGAGCUCCUAGAAUGUCCAAACUUCACAAAAUUUGCACGGAUUUGACGCACAAAAGCAUCUCGUACCAUAUUUUUUUUGAAUUUUGAAACAUUUUUUGUACCUUUAAUUGCAUUAUUGUUCAUGCCCGAGCUCAUCUGAGCCCGGGAGCCAAAUCGUUGCUCUAAAAAUAAAUGAUCUUUUGAGGCUCCAAUGACAAUGGCGUGGUCAUUGACAACAUUAUAUGUGCCAACAUGUUUGUUUCUAGGUAACUGGCAAAAACUAUAUCAAUGAUUUAUUUAAGAACCUAACAUUGAUCUAACGUCUACGAAAUAACUAAAUUUUAUGUUGAUUGAGAAAUUCCCAAUUCUAUUGAUUUUAAUCAAACAAAGUAUCGAUAAUUCAACCCGGAGGGUGGACUGAGAUGAGCCCGGUGAACACUAUCGUGUUUAAAAAUAGAAAAAAGUUUAAAAUAAUUCUUAACUUUUUGUGGUGCAAGAUGCUUCUGUGCGUGAACGUUGUUCAAUUUUUUAUGAAGUUUGAACAUUUGAGGAGAUCGUGGAAAAAAGAGAAAAUCAGGCGUGAAAAAUGCGAUUCUCAAAAGUUUCUCACACAUCCGACAUUUAUCUUUUUUUUUACCGCAACUUCUUCGAAUGUCCAAACUUCACAAAAUUUACACGGAUUUCACGCACAGGAGCAUCUUGCACCACAACUUUUAUUUUGAAUUUUUAAACUUUUUUGUACCUUUAAUCAUAUUACCGUUCAUGCUCGGGCUCAUCUGAGCCCGGGAGCCAAAUCGAUGCUCUAAAAAUAAAUCAUCUUUUGAGGCUCCAAUGACAAUGGUGUGGUCAUUGCCAAAAUAUUAUAUGUGCCAAAUCACUGGCAAAAACUAUAUCAAAGAUUAAUUUAAGAACCUAACAUUGAUCUAACGUCUAUGAAAUAACUAAUUUUCCAUGUUGAUUGAGAGAUUCCCAAUUCUAUUGAUUUUAAUCAAACGAAGUACAUACAAAAAAUGAAAAUAAAACAAAACACAAAAAUAUCCUAAUUUAAAUGUUCUCAAAUUUAAAAAAAUUCUAAAUGCCAAAAAAUGAUCACAAACUUAACAUUGUUCCCAUAUUUUAGAAAAUGUUCAAGAGAUUUGAAAUAAGAGAACUACAAAUAAAAUAAAAAUCAAGAAACCAGAAAGAAAAUUACAAAAAGAAGAAUAAAAAACCUAUUCAUGGAAGGAUAACCUUCUCAAAACUGGGAAUGGGCUGGGCCAUAUAGCAGACCGCUCUCCCGAGGAGGGUCGUGUUUGCCUGGUAUUCCUCAUGUUACGCGUGGAAUAGGAUCUACUCAACGAGGAGCGAUUGCUCCAAUGUUCUCUGCUCGUUGCCAUUAGUUUGUUGACAUGAGACCACGACUCACUACACCGGCUACCUAGCGCCGGUGCAUGCUACAAUGCCAUCUACAUUUGUCUCGAUGACGUUAAACAUGUGACCCUGCCAUUGUCGUUGUUCGUAUCCUCAAAGCCGUUACUUGAACUAGAGGAGUAUACAUUAUUGAAUUGCAUGGUGGGCUCUGAUCGAUGUAGACACCACGGAUCACGAAUGGUAAGAAAUCAAAAACAAAAGAACACUUUUUUUUUUUUGUUUGAGAUUGAAACUCUUCCUCACCAAGGGUUUAUCAAGGUUUCAGUAACCGUGGGCUGUGCCGGGAUUGCCAAAGCCCAAUGCCACUGAGGGCCCAUGCACGCCACUAGUCCCGUCCAGCACCGCCAGUAAAAGGGCCCAAGCAAUAAAAGUCGACGAGUAACUUGCUGCUCGGACACUUGCCGGCCCGUAGGUACGGACGUAGGAGUGACCACGGUCGACGACCACCUUUUGUACACCUAACGGUCGUGAACCUGAACCUACCAGCAGCUCGCUUUGCCGGAGGCGCCUACAACCACCGGUCUUCGCCGUAAGCACGCACGGCAACUUGCGUGAAAAACCAUGUGCUUCUCGCUCAGCGUGAACCCGUAAACACGUGAACAACCCGAACCGCCACCGCCACAGCGACCUGGACGCCGCCGGCCGGCAAGAAACGAUGAUGGCUCCGACUCCGAGCAGCGUCAUCCAGGCCAAGCUGGUGGGUACGUCGCCCAUGCAUGCAGUUUUUGCUUCUUUUCCCCAGGAUUAAUCACCGGCCAUCUUCUCUGCAUGGCUUUGUAACGAUCGAUCUAGCAUUUUUUUUUUCAUGGUGAGACCGUGAGAGUGAUCGGAUUUGCGUGCGUGCGUGCGUGCGUGUGCAGGUGCUCCUGGGAGACCUUGGCGCCGGGAAGACCAGCAUCGUGGUCCGGUUCGCCAAGGGGCUCUACUACGAGUGCCAGGAGUCGACCAUCGGGGCGGCCUUCUUCUCGCACGCGCUCCCCGUGAGCGGCGGCGGCGAGGACGCCACCGUCAGGUUCGACAUCUGGGACACCGCCGGCCAGGAGCGCUACCACAGCCUCGCCCCCAUGUACUACCGCGGCGCCGCCGCCGCCGUCGUCGUCUACGACAUCACCAGCACGGUGAGACAGAUCCUCUCUUCUCCUCGGAAAUUAAUUUCAUUGAGCGAUAUUAAUUCUCUGAAUAUGUGCCGGAUGAGUCGAUCAUUUCUGACAACGGAAACUGAAACUAAUUGCUGCGUGGGCGUCAGGACUCGUACACCCGAGCAAAGAGGUGGGUCGACGAGCUUCAGAGACAAGGUAUAUAUAACUGAACACGUCUCCUGUAGUUCCAUCUCGUCGCUGGAACUCGAAAAUGCAUGUCAGCGCUCAGGUUUCAGUGCACAUCCGAACAGGGAACCCGCAUCUGGUGAUGGCGUUAGUGGGCAACAAGGUGGAUCUGGAAAAAAAGAGGAAGGUUGGCACACAGGUAUUUACUUACGACAUAGGAGUAUUUGCAGACAAAAAGUUCAGAGCCCCAGUGCUGCUGCAUCUGUCAGCCAAACACAUCAUCGGCUCCGUGUGUUUCUCUGAAUGAACGCGAACAGGAGGCGCUGGAGUACGCGGAGCGGAACGGCCUCUUCUUCCUGGAGACGUCGGCCAAGACGGCGCAGAACGUCGGCGAGCUCUUCUACGAGCUAGGCAGGGAUCUGCAAACUCUACCUGCUUCUUUGCGAUCUGCUUCAUCUCUUGCUUGCUUUUGCUUGUACUGAUACGUGUGUUUAUCGGCAGCCGAGAGGCUGGUGAAGGUGCGGCCCAGCCAUCCAGCCGGGAUGGUCCUGCACGACGACGGCCAGCGCCGCGUCGGGGGACGGUGGUUCUGUUGCUCCGGGUGAUCGACGAUGCCGAUGCGUGUGGCACGCUGGCGGCGGUAAGGGAAGGUGUGGCGUGAGUAGGAUUCUGUGUCGUGUGCAUAUGCCGCUCUCUCUGUAUGUACUGUACGUAGCAAGGACUCGACUAGUACUUGUUGCACUGGUGAUGGUAUGACAUGUGGUUUAUGGUGGUGUACGUUUUUGGGGUACAGGCACUGGCAGGGGCUAAACUGCUGAUUCUACGAUAAAAAAUGCUAGACCUAUUAAAUAUUACUUACGUUUACUAAACCUUUCAACUAAUGUAAACAUGCUCCUCCUGAUUUUCAUUUUCAGGGGUGGAUGAGCCUCACCCUCCUCUUAAUCCAAUCAAUGAUUGCCAAAUCAGACUAUCCCAUAAACGUAUGUAAACAUUUCCGUAGAUGUAGCAUUGCUCUUCUACGAUACUUUCUAUGUUUCAAAAAGAAUAUAUGCAUCAGAAAUUUGUUGUUAAUUGUAUUUUGUUGGAUUUUUUUCUUUUCUGUAUGCAUGGUUUCAGCUUGUCAUGCUCAGGUCUGUACUCUGUAAACUGAGUUUGCACAUGUACACGUUUUGUCCUAUUUUUUUCUUCUUUUGAAUGCUCUGAUGUGAUUAAAAGCUACUCCAAGGGCUUCACAUAUUAUAGAUGCGUACAUGCUUGUAGUUCUCACUUUUUCAUGGAUAAUGAAGUAGUUGAUGUUGGUGACUAACAUCCAUUCCAAAGUGAGUUACAAAUGUCAGGUUUGGAGGUAUCCCUUCCUGUUUAAGUAUGCAACAAAAAUGUGCAUAUACAUGAAAAUGAUAAUAGCAGAAGCAGACCAGAAGUAUUACGUACCAAGGUGGACUAUAGCUUAAAAAAUGAUGGUUUAAGCAUAACAUGGAAAGCUUACUUGCACUGCCAAGUUAUGACUUUCAAGAUGGGAUGGGAUGCCGACGGUGACCCUUGAACCAUACUCCCUCCGUUCGUAAAUAUAAGUCAUUUUAAAGAUUUUAAGAAGACUACAUAUGAAGUAAAAUGGAUGAAUCUACAUUUUAAAAUAUGUCUAUAUACAUCCGUAUGCAAUCCUUAUUGAAAACUACGAUAAAGAUGACUCUACGAUGAAGACGGGCUCCAACGACGGCACCACAUCGGACCCGUGCCUAUGCAUGCCGUCUUUGACCAUGGAUCAGGUGCAAGCAAACUUUGAAGCCGUCAUGAAGGAGGAGGAACACUAGCAGGAGAAAGGCCAAAUCUACAACGAACACGCAAGGGAGGAGGUCAUGGCCGCCAUGGUCCCAGCGAAGCCAAACUUUGUUGCGCGGCAGCGGACGCUCUACAAGGCCACACGUGCUCAAGGCGUCCCUCACAACGCAAGUGUGGCGCAGGUAGAUGCACACACACAAGCGCUGAUGGCCGAGGACGAGAACGUUGCUAGCUGUGCGCCCUACGCGUUGUCUAACUUCUGGCGACGCAUGUGGCAAUUGGACAGUGACAGACCGUCCACAUCCAUCAUCGACCUCAUGUCCACCGACACUGAUGACGGACAUGUCACGGACUCCUCUAAGGAUGAAUAGGGAAUAGAAGGUGGCAGGGCAUUAUGUCCCAAAUAGGCCAGUCCAUCUUCCAUGGCCUAUACUCUUUUUUUUUGAAGACCGCACCUUCAUUUUCCGGAUUUUAAAACAAGAGAUGAAGAACGUGGUCGUUGAUACGGAAUAUAAAGGAAAUGGAAGGCGGAUCCCGCUGUAGGACAAGUUUAGCUCCCACCAUUUUUAAUGAAAUUGUGCAAAUUGUAAUAAAUGUGUUCCGAUUUGUAUGAAUUUCAUCCGAUUUUAAACAAUGAUCGAAAUAUAUGAGGAUAUCGUUGGAUGACCGGCUCCUCAAAUAAUGUCCACGAACGCGUGUGAUUUUUGUUUACGUGUCAACGCUAGAGAUGUUCUUACUGGAUUCGACUAAUUUGACCCCUUUCCCCCUUUUCCACCAUUUCUUUGCGAACACGUCCGGACAAGCUCUGAACAUACGGAAGUUUGAAAGUUGCAUGUCGAAAAGUCAGAAGAUGUGUUUAUUUUUUUUGCACGUACGUAGUAACUUCCACAAUUUUCCGAACGUGUGCUGCACGGAUGAACUCCACUCCACACAACAGCCCACUUGUAUGCAUCCAACAAAUGGCCUCACUGCAAAUUCAUGUGGAGUAGAUAAUAAUGGCUCGAAAAUUACGUGGCCUCACUUGUGUGCAUCCACAACUAUGUGUCGGCAGGUCAAACUGACAGUGUUCUGUCAAACCUUCUUACACGGGCUGGGGAUAAAAAGUCCAAUUAAUUGAAUAAUGCGGCCGGUUGCCAUCGCAUUCGCAGCAGUACUGCAUGCUAUAUUGGGUGUUGGGCUCAAAGGGGCAGGGAUAGCGCGAGAGAUCGAUUCUGUUAACAACCGUGUCGCACCACUAGACGGCCAAACGCUGAGGACUUUCCAUCUUGAGCAGCAAGAAGGACCUCGCCGCCAUGCCUGUACACGCGCACAAGAAGGUCGGAAGCGGCAUCACGGACCACGAGCUCGCCCGCAAGAAAGCUGCUGAUCGCCACCUUCCGAGUGCGGCGGCACCAGCACCGCCGCCCAUGAUCAUAAACAUAAACCACUACGGCGGCAACGUGAACAUCCUGGUCCAGGGCAAUCAAGAACGAGGAGGAGCCUCAAGCAGCGCUGCUCCCUCCUCACAGCCACAUGUUCCUCUUCCUCGUCCUGGGAAGGCGGCCAUGGUGGUGCAACCCGCAGAGGCGAGUAAACCUCAGAGGAACCACCCAGUGCAGUCAUCCAAGGAGACAAGGCAAACCCAUAGAGAGCCCAAGCCAUCCACGGAGACGACAAUACAAACCCACACGGGGCAGAAGAAGCACCCAGUGCAGCCACCCAUGAAGACGACGAGACAAACUCACAGAGAGCAACCACCCAGUGCGGGUGCGGCCAAGCCGCGACCUUCCCGAUCCAUCCCCGCAACCGCAACAGCAACAACGUCCUCCUCGGGAGACAAAGGUGGAACCCCGCAUCAUAAGAGCAUCUCUAGUAAAACCCUCAAACCCCCAAACCCUUAAAAAUAACCGCUUUUUUUACAGUUUUCGUCCGGAAAAUGGCGUAGACUAACCCUUAAACCCGUAUAUAUUUUUAGAGGUCCGACCCUCAAACGCCAUCGCAGCCUGUAGAAGUGAGGGUUGGGGGGAGUUUCUCCCCCCAACCUGCAAUCCAUUUCCUCGCGAGCGCGGGAGGAAGUUUCAGCUUCCUUCCCUCCCUCCGCAGCGCCGCCACCGCUCCGCUCCGCCGCCCCGCCCUCGAUCCGCCGCCGCCGCCCCACCCUUCGCCGCCUGCGCCCCGCCCCGGCCGCCCUCCGCCGCCUGCGCCUAGCCCCGGCCGCCCUCUGCCGCCGCCGGCCCGCCCUCCGNCUCCGCCUCCGCCUCCACGCCGGCCCUCCGCCUCCGCCUCCGCCCCGGCCGGCCCUCCGCCCCGGUCGGCGCUCCGCCUCCGCCUCCACGCCGGCCGCCCCUCCCAGCGCCGCCGCCCCGUCCCGGCUGGCCCUGCCCUCUGCAGGUUCGAAUUUUUGCUUUUUUCUUCAUUUUUACAUUUUUGCUUUUUUCUUCAUUUUUACAUUUUGGCACUCAUAUUGUAGAUGGAGUUGAACAAAGCCAACAUGGACUCGUUGUCGGAUUCGUCGGAUUGGUCGUCAUCCGACGAUUCCGACAUUGACGAGUUGUUGCAAGACGACGACGUCGAGAUGAUGAGCCUCCUCGUCGACGUGCAAGCGUUUGAAGACCGCGUGAAGCUUUUGGAUCAGAGGAGAGGGUCGAAGAUGGGGCGACUCACCAUCUACCGGAACCGCGCUCUCGGACACGAGCAUUUGAUGCGAGACUACUUCGCGGAGGUACCUACAUACCCUCCUCGUCUCUUUCGCAGAAGGUACCGGAUGAGACGUAGUUUGUUUGUGAAGAUUGUCACCGAUUGUGAGGCCGCCUCGUAUUACUUUAAACGUCGUAGAUCCGCCGCCGGUAUCAUGGGGUUUAGUGCAUAUCAAAAGAUAUCAGCGGCAAUGCGGGUACUCGCUUAUGGCAUACCCGCGGAUUAUACCGACGAGUAUCUUUGCAUUGGGGAAGAUACAACCACGGAGUCCGUCCGUAGGUUUGCCAAGUUGGUCAUCCGGUUGUAUGGUGAGAAGUAUCUUCGGGCACAAAACGAGGAAGAUACAAAGAGAUUAAUGGAAAUGAAUGAAAAAAGGGGAUGGCCGGGGAUGCUUGGUAGUCUUGAUUGCAUGCAUUGGAGGUGGAAAAAUUGCCCAAAGGCAUGGCAUGGAAUGUAUUGCGGUAAAAGCCGUGAUGCUACCAUUGUGCUUGAGGCCGUAGCAUCGGAGGACACAUGGAUUUGGCAUGCAUUCUUUGGGUUGCCGGGAACACUCAAUGAUAUCAAUGUCCUCAAUAGAUCUCCAUUGUUCAAAAGUUUAAUUUCUGGGGAUGCUCCAGCUUGCAACUACAAAAUCAUGAACAAUGAGUAUUCAAUGGGAUACUAUCUCACCGAUGGCAUCUAUCCCUCAUGGGCAACUCUUGUGAAGUCCAUCAAAGAGAAAAAUGGGGUGCCCUUAACAAGAAAAGAGGCUCAUUUCACCAAGGCACAAGAGGCAGCCCGCAAAGAUAUUGAGAGAGCUUUUGGUGUUUUACAAGCAAGGUUUGCCAUAGUUCGGGGUCCAGCUCGGUUUUGGGACAAGAAAACCUUGGUGAACAUCAUGAAAUGUUGUGUGAUUCUACACAACAUGAUCCUAGAGGAUGAGAGAGGGUUAAACCUCCCUUGUUUCUAUGACAAUGUUGGUACGCGUGUGCAACCGGAAAGAAACCAUUCUCGCAUACACACCUUUCUUGAAGCACAUCGUGAGAUUGAGGAUGCAACCACUCAUGGUCGUCUCCGGGAUGAUCUAAUAGAGCACCACUGGCAGUUGGAUGGGCGGCGUAUUGGCCCAUGAUGUAUCUUUGUUUUACUUUUCUAUGUCCUAUUUGAUUCGAACAAUUGUUGUUAUUUGCUCAAACAUUGUUGUAAUGAUUUGAAUGAUUAUUGUUUUAUUCGGUGUUGUAAUAAUAACUAGAAUGGUUAUUGUUUUAUGUCAAAUGUGAUUGAAUUUGUGAUAUGUCAUAUGAUGAAAUGGGGUGAAAUGUGUGAUAUAUGAAAUGACAGUUUUAAGGUUUGGGGUUGGGGCAAAGAGUAGAACCCUCAAACCCNNNNNNNNNNNNNNNNNNNNNNNNNNNNNNNNNNNNNNNNNNNNNNNNNNNNNNNNNNNNNNNNNNNNNNNNNNNNNNNNNNNNNNNNNNNNNNNNNNNNNNNNNNNNNNNNNNNNNNNNNNNNNNNNNNNNNNNNNNNNNNNNNNNNNNNNNNNNNNNNNNNNNNNNNNNNNNNNNNNNNNNNNNNNNNNNNNNNNNNNNNNNNNNNNNNNNNNNNNNNNNNNNNNNNNNNCAACCCUUAAAAGUGUUAAAAAUGGGCAAUUCUCAACCCUUAAAACUGAUUUUACAUUUAAGGGUUUGAGGGUUCUACUAGAGAUGCUCUAACAACCCUGAAAACACUCAAGCAACUGUAGCACGGGUACCAUGUGGGCAAUACCGCGCGCGUCGUUGAUCGGCCGCCUCUCCGCUGGUAAGAUCUCACUUAAAUAGGCUCCCAUAUAUAUAUAGUCUAAUGUAGGAUUGAAAUUAUUUGGGUGGACACUUUGAUUAAGUGGAAUGAAAUUCAGGAGUGCUGUCCUGACAUUGAGCUGAAAGACGAGAAGGAUACUUUAAUUUGGCAACUCAUUGUUGAUGGAAAAUAUUCUGUUAAAUAUAAUCAACCGGUGAGCAGUGGUUUCAAAUUUUCUUUCAAAUUUCUAUGGAAAGUUAAAAUUCCUGCAAAAAUUGGAGUUUUCUUAUGGCUGGCUGUUAGGAACAAAGGAGUGUCUAAAUCUCAUCUAGAUGAGAUAUAAUUUGGUCUCAUUCACUCCGAAAAAAAAAAAGAAGGUCUCAUUCACUUCAUAUCCGCUGUUGUUGUUGUACUAUUUGUUUAUAGCUCGUUUAAUUUCGCCGGCCCCGUCUUAGUUCGCUGGCCCAGCAACGUGUUUUGCUUUCGCUGGCUCCGUUCACUGGCCAGUAAGUAACACAUGCUCUGGAGACACUGAAAAAAUAAUCUCUAGCCUCACGGAGAUGGCUGGCUAGUCCUGACCAGGUUAGAUACGGGUGAUAUCAAUCCAUUAUUAGCACUAGUCGUUCUUAAUAGAACUAUCCGAUAAACAAAGAUGUUCUAGAAAAAGGAUUUUAGUUUUUUUUUUUGUGUUCUUUGUACUUGGUAUGCACACAAAAAAUGAACAAUAAAAUCACCGUAAAAAGAUUCAAUAAUACCUCUUGUGGUUUGCAUUCUUGUGCGCAAAAUGUGUGCCCCUCGUACACAAUUGUAAUUGUGUCUUUUUUGAUAACUUACAGUUGCAGCCUUCAUGAAAAUUUUAAGUUGUGACUAGACUUGUAAACUUGCAGUUGCGUCCCUUCUUAUAACAUUGCAGUUGCAUUCGGGCUACAACGUUUGCAAUUGCAUGUCUAGUGGUGACAUACAACUGUCCCCGACAAAUCCUGUCUAAACCCAAGUUGGAUUUGCUUUGGGUCCUUGCAGCUGCAAUCGAGUUAGAACGCUUGCAGUUGCAUGUGUAGUGGUUGACACACAACUUGUCCCGACACCCCCACUCCUAAUCCGAAUUGCAGUCGCUUUGAUCGCAUGCAGUUGCAAUCAAGUUACAACGCUUGCAGUUGCAUGUCUAGUGAUUGAUAUGCAACUGAUCCCGACAACUCACCUCAUAAACCUAAUUACGAUCGUUUUGGGCCCAUACAAUUGCAGUUGGAUUACAACGCUUGCAAUUGCAUGUCCAAUAGUGAACAUGCAACUGGUCCAUGCCAUGUCCUCAUCCUAUUUCUAAUCUCAACUUUACUAUUGUGCUGACAUGAUGAUUUUUUCAAACAAUAAUAUUUAAAAGAAACCUAAACAACAAUUUUGCAAUUUUCUUGAUCAACAAAAAUAAAAAAAUUACUCACACAUUUAUGUUCCUCAUACAAAACAGGAAAAGGAAACAACAAAAGAAUAAAAAAAAGACCACAUUGCAAGAUGGGACAGGGCCUGCGCGCUACACAUAAAAAAUGGCCACGGGCGCUCCAACGCUACAGAAACAAACGAGGGCUGCAACGAAAAAUAGAAAAUGGGCCACAUGCCACAAUCCAUCGGUAUUAAUGCUCGCCAACUCGGGUAAACGUGAAUUACGACACGGCAAAUAUCUGACGGCUGAUAAAACGAAUGAAACCAAAAAUUAUCUUAGCUAGCUGAGUUGUAGCAAAACUGUAGGAACAAUGUGCUUACUAAUGAUAGUUUGCAUAAAAGUGGUUGGAAUUGAGAUCCUAAAUGUGUUAUCUGUAUUGCUAGUGAGACAAUUGAUCAUUUGUUCCUGCACUUCUCUGUAGCUAAAUUUCUUUGGAGUGUUUUGCAAAGUACUUUUGGUAUAAAUUGUGCUCCCGUUGAUGUUAAAGGCCUUUUCACUACUUGGUUAUCUCCUUUUGUUAAGGGUAAACAUAUGAAAUUAUUUGUGGGUAUAUAUGCAUUGAUGUGGUCUAUCAGGACUUCCAUAAAUGAUAUUGUCUUUUAUUGCAAAAGGACUGUUGAUCCUUUUGGGAUUCUGUAUAAAAUUUGCUACCUGAUUGAUGCUUGGUCUAUUCUACAGAUAAAUAGGGGGAAAUAAAAGGGAACUGAUGAACUGGGAGCAAGAUUUUCUAGAGCGGGUGGAAAGUGAGAUCUACAGGGUGUCGAGAGCAUUGCGUAAUGCGCAUAACAGAUGGCUGAAGAUGACGUCCUCUAUGACUAUUUAUGCUUCUCUCUCUCUGAUAGCCCUAUUUGGAGAAGCUUGGUUAAUUCCCCAGUUUCUGUUCUUUACUAUAUGUCUUUUGGAUGACGAGCGUCGUUAUGUGAAGUUUGUAAUAUGCACCUAUUUUUGACACUCUAGUUUACCUUUAUGGGUGGGGUAGCUGUUGGUUCUAGAGUGUAGUUUAGUGUUUCGGAGAUCUGUCUCCUUCACUAUGCUAGCUCUGCUGUUUGGGUGAGUUUGAUGUUUGUAAUGACUAUUAUUGUUUUCAUAAUGAAAAUCGGGGGAAACCCCUUCUGGUAAAAAAAGUUUGGAGGGUCUUUUUUUUUAAAAUGCGAACCCUUAUGUACCGAUCUCAUUAAAAAAUGUCGAAGAGAAUUGCCCGGUUAAUGAUGAAAAAACCGGCUAAAACCGUCACAAUGCGCCCGCCACAACAGGGCACACAGGGCGACCUGACAACCUACACAAGAACGCACACAUGCCGCCAAAGGGAAGAGCUCCGUCGAGGUUGUAAUCCGGCAUCAUUGUCAUUACGCCUCCGCGAGGGCGACUCCGACUUCACCAUCGAUGACCACCGAUGUAGCCUCCACCGCAGACAAGCGUAGAGGCAUGCGUCGGACAACGCCAAACAGUCCACCACACGCGCCGGCGACCAGCCAGCUUCGACUCAACCGAGGAGCAUUGUAGGAUGAAAAGCACUGGACCUGCGCCGAGCCAGCGCCAGAACCGACGACCCAUCUUCACGUCGUCGUCGCCGCAAGGAUCCUCCUCAAACAACUCCGACUUCAGAAGACAAGAGAGGCACGACGACCCCUCGAACACGCCGGACUAGACCGACUACUAGAACCCAACAUCAAGUCCUAUUCCGCUUGAAGGGGCCAUCGUUGCCACACAAGAAGCCGCGCAGAACAUCCACAUUGCCGGACGAGCCCCAACCGACCGCAAUGUCGCGAGCGUCUAGCCCCUGGAGAGUGCAAUCGAGAUCCAAAGCUCUUCAAGACGACGCCCCCAAGGAGGAAGCGACGAUGUCGACGCCGUCGUCCGACCCAAUCGGGCCUAAGGUUUUCACCCGAAGAACUGAAUCCGAGGGUGUGUAGGGAGAUAACUCCUCAACGGUGCCUCCAAGGAGGUGAGACGACAUCCACAGACGCCGACACCGUCGACCGGCAAGCUUUCGCCCGGAGCACCUCUCAAUACCAUAACCCCACACACAACACCUCCGCUAGCACGCAUGCCUCCCACCAAGCCAUUGUGCCAUGACCACGAACGGGAGCACCGCCGCCAGCCUAUCCCCCUCGCCAGAUCCGGCUGGCCAGCAGCGGGCCGACGAGGGAAGCCAGCUAGGGCCACCCGAGGCCGCCGGGAGUCAAAUCUGGACGUCGGACGACGCCCCGAGACGCAGCCGCCGUGCCUCGGCCCGCUGCCCUGACGCCGCCACGCUCUAGAGCCAGCACGCCGCCGCCGGGAGUAGCCGCGCCGCGCCGCCGGGCCCCGUGCCCGCUCGACGUCUCUGCCCAGGUAGGGUGGCCCGCGCCUACCACCACCAACGGAGAGAGGAGGAAGAAGAGCCCCUCCGCCAGCCACCGCACCGGGCUUUUCCCCGGCGGCUCGGGCCAGUGGCGGCGGCUGGGGAGAGGGUGGAGGGGGGUGGGGGACUGGGAGCAGGAAGCGCCACUGCCUGAGUCGUUCGCGGGGGACCGACGCGGGGGCAAGGGCUGGAUUUGCUGCUGAUGUUUAGGGGUCUUUUUUUUGCGUGUUGCGUGCGUUUUCAGUCACCUUUUGCUCAUCUACGGGAUACAAACCAAAAGAUGGUGUGAUAUCAAGUUAAGAAGAAGUGACUGAGAGCAUCUCCAACAGCCGCGCUUCGCGCCGCGCCUAAAAAACCUGUUUGCCGCGCGCCCAUUGCCUGGUUUGACGCGUCGCGCAGCGCUGGCUCCAGCAGCAGCGCUAAAGUGCAGCGCGCGCGCACAACAUUUUCAAUUGCAAAAUGGGCAAAAUAAAAAGAUUGCAUAAAAUAAAAAAGGAUACAAAGUUAUUUUACAUAGAUUGCAACUAAAUAGAUAGUUCGAAAAUAUAGAUAGAUAGUUCGGUGCAAGUAGAUAGAUAGU